This 66048-nucleotide long non-coding RNA is filed under the name Podarcis lilfordi (Lilford's wall lizard). Lineage: Eukaryota; Metazoa; Chordata; Lepidosauria; Squamata; Lacertidae. The record is from RNAcentral.
AGUCAAAGCCAAUGAACAAGUAGGCAGUGACAGCUCUUCCUCCUGCUUCUCACUACUGUUGUUGCUUGCUUGCUUUCUUGCUCAUUCCUGCAAAGUCAAGAGUGAGGAACAGGUGAUCAAGGAGGUUGCACCAGUGAAGAGAGUAGCAGACAUAGGUGGCUCUUGUCAUGCAUCCCCUGCCAAGAUGGGAGCCUUCAGCAGGUACCCAACCAUGCCAACUGUUGAUGCCAGCCUUGAUCAUAGUCCUCUGGACCACUUUUUGCAAUAGGCUUGUUUUUUUGGGGGGGGGGUUGGGCAACUUUGCCAUGACCCACUAGUGUCUACUUCUGUGUGUCUUUGUGCCAAUGGCAAAUGGCAGCUGUAGGGGCUUCAGAGCUUGACCAGGGCCAUGGAAGCAGUAAAAGUAAAAGUUUCUUUCAUCCACCCACCCUGUAGUCAUGAUGUCAAGCAUACAAAAUGCAACCCAUACAAUUAGUUUCCUGACAUGCCUAUUUGCCCCUCUGUCUGAGUAGGUGUUAAGUGUGAUUAGCCACAGUCAUCUCUUUAUUUCCUAGUCUCUUCCCCUUUUUGUGUGAAUUUCCCCACUGUCUAGUUUAGAUUGUAAGAUUCUGCAAGAGCACCUCUUUUUUGCCUAGGAAACUCUGUAACAUGACAUGCAUGAUUAUUAUCCUUCAUUAUUAUUGUUGCUAUCAAUAAUAGUAGUAAUAGUGAGCAAUGCACAAUUAUUUACCAUUUCUUGCAUCUACUAUCCAUAACUUCCUUGCCCGCCUGCAAGGUUGCACUAUUGUGGAGAUUUCUGCAGUAUAUAUUGGGGGGGGGGGGAUGCAAUACACCCUCACAGAUAGCCCAUACAUUGCAAUUCUAGAAUUGCUGUAUUGAAUGUGAUUAUACAAGUAUUAUAGGUAGCUACUGGCUACGUGCCAUAACUGGAGCUGUGCAAUUACAAACCCACACCACCCUGCACCAUUUUAUGAAUUUGCUGAUUUUAGUUUCAGAUUUUUUUGGGGGGGGAAUUGUGUUGCCUCUGGGCUCCCAUGCCAUAUGGCCAGCUGUCUUUGCCUGAGAGGUUUGGUAACAUCAAAGCUAUUCCCUUGCUGCAAAAUUAUCACUCUCAGUCACCAAGGCUAGAUUCCCUGUCCCUUCCUCACCCACAUCAAGAUAUACUGUUGUCGAUGAAAAGUCAUUUGUGAGAGUAAAGAAGCCUGAGUGUUCCCAAAAAAGGAGAGCCAGUCUAAGUAAUAUAUCAGGAAGAAUUUAACUAUGACAACACUUCAGAGCUAUCUCUAAUCACUGAACGUUCAGGGAUGGGUGACUUGCCACUUUUAGAAUGUUGUAGACAACAAGACAGGAGGUGCCUGUAAAGAACUGAGAAUGAAUCUAUGACAGAUGUGAGCAAAGAUAAUUAUAAUGCAAAAACAUGUGUUAGGGCAAUGGCUGUACUUAGGCUAUUACUACUGGUAUUGCUAUUAAGAUUUCCUUUGGCAUGAACUGUGGAAGCUUACUUUCAAUGUAAAUAGAUCGUGGACUGUCACCUAGGACUACAGCUUAGAAAUUUGUAAUAGUGUACUCUGGUUAGUACAGUAUUGGCCAUUUUUAACUCACUCAUUCAGUCCGAAGCCCAGAAAUGGCACUCAAAAUUAACUACAAUCACAUAAACCAAAUGAAUAAUAAUGAAAUUUGCCUGUUUUCUGUUGCCAAAACAAUGGAGCUAUUUGUGGUCACCCUCCUCAACAGAAAUGUGAGGGCAGAACUGGGAUGCUGUCCUUCCUUUCCCAUGGCAUGUCAUUACCCAAACCUCUGCUAGUUAGCAAGUGCUGGGUGGGUGCCCAGUGUUCUGUUUUGCUUUUUCAUUGUUAGCACUACUUAUAAUUUGUGCAUAACACCCUCAAGCCUUCAUGCCUGUUUUCUAUUCUAAGCCAGCAGCAGACUGUUCAUUUUCCCUGUCCUAUUCCUGCGUUAGCGUUGUAAACAUGCAGAUCUAGUCUAGUGUUUGCACAAGAGAGCAUUAGGCUUUUCUUCUUGUCUCUGGUUCAUAAAACAUCAUAGUCUUCCUGGCCCUAUGCUAAUCCUUCUUUUGGGGUCCCUUUCACCCUCUGUUCAUCUUCACUAGCUCUCGUCCUCUCUUCAGGCUGAGGCUGAGCCAGCCACAAUCCUAGGAUAUAACAAAACGAUCAUAUUGAGAAGUAAUGCAUAAAAGGCUCCCUUUGCCCAUACCAAAUGAUCUAGCUCCAGCUGCUAUUUUUUUUCCAGGACACAUGUGAAUAUAUCCCCAUUGAGCUUUAAUAUAUGAAAGCUGAGACCCAGGGUUUUUAAAAAAUGACGUUGUACUCAAGCCAACACAGUGCAUAUCAGUAUCAACUUUUCAGUGUGGUAACAGCUUUCCAAAUCAGGCUGAGGCACAGGUCAGUUUGACUUGGAAUUUUAGUAGCACCCUCUGAAAGGACCUUGAUUUGGAGGAACGAGACAUUGUAAAGUAUACCAGUCAAGAGAAUGAGCUCCCUCUUUGUUCCCCUGCUCCAGAAGAUGGAUGCUUUAAUGGACUCUCUCACAUAAAAACAAGCUCUCCCCAAUUCAUGGAACACCACCAGCACACCAGAGUGGGCUCUAGGGUAGCCUUCUCCUUGACAUGUUAGCCUUAUACAUCCAAGUAGUACAGAUGAGGGAGAAAUUGGAUUCAGUUUGCACUUAAAGCCUAAUUUCUCAAAAUCACACUUUCCAAAACAAUAUGAGAACUGAAACAUAGCCAUCCUUUUUAAAAUGUGCACUUACAGUGGUACCUCGGGUUACAUACGCUUCAGGUUACAUACGCUUCAGGUUACACACUCUGCUAACCCAGAAAUAGUGCUUCAGGUUAAGAACUUUGCUUCAGGAUAAGAACAGAAAUCGGGCUCCGGCGGUGUGGCGGCAGCAGGAGGCCCCAUUAGCUAAAGUGGUGCUUCAGGUUAAGAAGAGUUUCAAGUUAAGUACGGACCUCCAGAACGAAUUAAGUACUUAACCUGAGGUACCACUGUAUCUGAAUUUGUAAUGCAGUUCUGCAACCAAUCAAUGUUUACAAAAAUGCGUAUAUAAUGCAAUAUAUUAGGCAAAAUUGCUUGCAAAAAAGUGUGCUUUAGUUGUUGUUUUUUAAAAAAACCCAUACAAAAUGUGUCCAUUUUGCAAAAAACACACACACACACAAAAUGCUGAUGAAUUUUCAUGAGGAUUUUUUUAAAAAAGAAAACUUUCAAAUUGCUGCAGAAAUGUAGAGAACUGAAUUUAGCAUUCAAAAAAUGAGAAACUGAGAGACCCAAAUUGACAGAUUCUUCCAUCUCUACCAAUGAGAUUUGUUGUGAUUGAUUGAUUGAUUGAUUGAUAAAUAAUGUUUGCCUGAUGACAUGUAUAGAUGCUUGAUGGCUAAGGACUUGUGCAAACAUACAACAGACAUGCGCCUUCGACAAAAAGGUGAUUUAUCAUGAGCUCCGGCCCCUAAUUCUCCUGUGUGCUGUCCAUUACCCCAUCAGGUUCUGGCCCUUUGCUUGUUUGGGCUCUUUCCUCUAGGUUCCAUUCAGGUACCAGAAUGUUUACUUUCAUGAAUUUGCAACCACAAUGAAUAUUGAUUAUUUGGAAAUUUGAAUCAUCCUGGGUGCAAAUGCGCUUAUGCUCUUUGUUCUAGGAAGAAUUUUACCAUAUAUUGAUGAUAUGAAGCAUGCAUUGCCACAUCUGAUUGGGUGUCAGCAUCAAGUGCUCCAACACCCCUCCCCCCAUGUUAAAUGUGUGGUACUUACUGUAACAACUUUACAGAGAGUACUGGCAUCCUUUCUCUCUCUCUAAAAAAAGCACUGGUCAACAUGAUCCGAAAUCACACCAUACAUUUAAAUCACUAUGAUACCACUUUAAACAGUCAUGGCUUCCCCUAAAGAAUUCUGGGAGCUGUAGUUUGUUAAGAGUGUUGAGAGUUGUUAGGAGACCCCACAUUCCCCUCAGAGAGUUACAAUUCCAAGGAUGGUUUAACAGCCAAUCCCUCUUCCCAGAAAACUCAGAGUGGGGAACAGGUGUCCCCUAACAAUUCUCAGCACCCUUAACAGACUAUACUUUCCAUGAUGCCUUGUGGAAAGCCAUGAUUGUUUAAAAUGGUAUCAUUGUUGUUAAGUUGUGGGCAAACAUAUCAGACGACACAGCAAUUCUUCAAACAGCUCUUCUUUAUUCAGAUGCCAGAACAGAACUAAGCUGAGGGGCUCAGUUAGCCUGCUUAUAUAGAGCUCCAGAACAAUUGUAACUGUUGCCAUUUUCUAAAACUAUCCAAUCACUGAACGUCACUUUUCGAUCCUUCAUUUGCAUAACUAUCUACAGUAUCCCCCUGCUGGCCCAGGGUGAGAACAUCAGUACGUAACAAUUGUGCUGUAAAUUUAUGGUGUGAAUUGGGUCAUAAUCACAUGGGCAAAAAUUCUCAACUUCACCUUACUGUGUUUCAGUCAUUUGUGCAGAUGCAAGUUGUAUGCGCAUAAAAUGAUGGCAGCUCCCUGCCCCGUGUCCACUUUGAUCCCUUCGUGUUUGGGGCAAAUCAUUUUCUUUUUGUUUGUAUUUUGGACAUUUGCAUAACUCUGCAAAUUCAUUUGCUGAGCCAAUGUGAAUGAUGCCAGAUCUUGAGGAGUAAAACAAUAACAAUAACCAUGUCCACAUAGUCUAUAUGGACAGCCCAUUUUCCCUCACACUAAUGUUUACAGGCAUCAAUAUGUACUUUUGGGGGGGAAAGAUAUUUGAAAGAAGCAAAUAAAUAUUAUUUGCACUGUAUAUAGCACAAACACUUCCCAGAACAAAAACACAGUAACAAGUUAUACAGACAUAGCCCUGGCCACUGUAAAUCUGUCUCUUCUUCUGGUGUUAACUUGGUUCCAAUUGGGGGAUGGGUAGUGCAAUUUAGACAAGGCAGAUGAUCAGUAACAAGAGAGAGCAUGUUAUGUUCCAGACAGUUAUUGGCCCAUGUUAAUCUAUACUAAACCCUUUUUAAACAAGUUGCAAUCAGAAUGAUAUUGCUCUGUUUUAAUUCAUUUUGUAGAUCUCUAAAUACAAUGUCAAGCCUCACAUUUUCUUCAAACUAAUAAUAAAUAAGGGAAAACUAUAUAGGAUGAAAUCCUUGUUGCCGUGACAUUCAUAGGUGUAUUGCCACUGAUUUUACGGAAAUCAAUAUACUAGCACUAACUGAAGGAUCUGUGUGUCUAGCUGUGUUUAAAUCAAUACCAAAUAUUAAGCUGAUUAUUAGAACCAUUUUCCCCCCUUCGUUUUGAGAAAUAUUCAAAUGGGUUAUAAUUUUAGCCCUUUGCUAGCAAUUCCUGCAGUUUAAUGCUAAAUCCUUGUAGCUUUAGCCUUUACUCUACCCAGUCAGGCAGCAAAAUAGGGAAAUCCCAGCAAUUUAAACUUCUGAUGAUCCCUGAGAUUUGAGGAUUUUGUUCCCCACUCAAGCUAGAUGUUGAUAAUGCUUUGGAUUCAGCUCUGCCAAUCACAUCCUUUAUAUCUAGGGAGUACGACAAAAACAGCACAUUAAAAUUUACUUUCCUAGGAGGAAACGAGAGUGAAAGAAAGAAGGAUCAAUUUGCCAGUUUUGCCUUGCUGAGUAUAUAGGUCAAGUAGUUAAAACUUUCCUAUUUACAGAGCUGUUUGUUAUGCUGGGUAAUCAAAUAAGACCCUGCUAUGUACUAAGUCCAAGGGACGCACGGGGCACAUAGCCUGACCUAUACUUGAAGAAUGGUAUGUACUUUGGGAUGCUACUGAAAAGCUAGAAGGUUUCAAAGAAUUGAAAAAAGAGUUUUCAGAUUCUUAGGAAAUGAACAUGGAAGCAGGGCAUGCAGCUGCCGUUCAUGGCAUCUGGCACCUCUAGGGUUACUGAGACACACACCACUCCUUUGACCUUUGGCAAAACAAGUAUUACUGCUACUGACAAAGAGGAAUCUAUGCUUGUGCUGUUAUUGGUUAUUUGCAUUUGAGCUUUCUCAUAUCAAGGCCAAACAUAUUGACAGCAUAUUCCCAGCUCAUUGGAGCCGAAAGGGCAGUUGUUGCUUGCUUUUACAGAAUCAUAAGCUAAAUUAGUUAUCAUUUUCUCUUUGGGCUGUUGGCAUGGAUAUUUUAAAACUUCCUGUGGGGAAGAAACUGUUAGAUCAGAUGCUUGCAUGUGAGUAGCCCAGCCAAUCAGCCUGCAUAAAUUGCAGGUGGAUAUGGGGAUGAUGAGAGGCUACAAGCUUUCAGCCUCUUCCUGACAGCUUAUAAAGGGAAGGUGGUAGAGUACAGAGAAAGAAAAUGGAGUUGGGGGAGAAAUUUAGCCAGGCUUCAGAUUUGCACUAAAAUGCAGUUGAAUUUUCAUGAGGAUUUCUUUUUAAAAUUGAUGUACAAAUUUUAAGAAUUGACCUUAAGACUGGAAAAAGUAAGAAACCAAAACUGACAGAUUCCUUCAUCCAUUGCUGGCAGUGGUAGAUGUGUUGUCUACCUCUUUUCCCCUGAUGAACAUGGCUUCUCUGGUCCAAUGGGAAGGAGGUAAGAGAAUGCAUGCAGCCUGUGCUUCUGAAGGAAGCUCUGAGAGUUGUGGACUCUGGAAACUGUGACCACUUCCGUUAGAAAUCUUGCAGCCCUUUCCUUAAAAAAUAGAAUAAAAAUCUAACACACAUAUCAGUAGAAACAACACUUACUAAUUUGAGGCACAAAUCUACUUGAGAAGACGGUUUCAUUACCAUACUAGUAGGCCUUCUGGUAUUAUUCGUUUAUUUUUAAACUGUACGGUAUACCACCCUUUACCAUUGUUUCCAGGGCAGCGUGCAACAACAAAUAAAAUAGCAUGAAAGAAUUGUAGCUGCAGGAGGUAGGCUUCAAAAGGCUGCAACCGUAUGUAAAUUUACCUAGGAGUAAGCCCCACUGAACUCACUGGAUUUGCUUGUGAGUAGGCAUGCAUGGUAAAAUACUUUAAAAUAUCUAGAAUUUAGUCUCCAUCUGGUACCUAAAUGAUAAUGAUGUGGGUUGGUUGCUGAGGUGAGCAUCCUUAGGGAGGAAGUAAUACAGGUGGGAUAUUACAGCCCCUAAAGCCCUUUCACUGGUCACUUCACCUCCAGUAAUGGGAGCACCUGAAGGAGGGUUUCAACGCCGUUGAAGCAACGGACAACUGCAGACAUGCAUCUAAAGGCACUGUUUUCCCCACAACUUUGGGAGUGAAUUACUCACAUCAUGCAAUGUUCCAUGCUAAGCAACAAGUAUAAGAUAACAAACCACCCCAAAGUGGCCCCACAAAUCCUUUGACAACCAUUGCAGGUUUGGAAAAUCAUACAGAAAGCUGAAAGGGAUUGUAGGCUUAUUUUUAGUCACAUCAAGUCUUUAUCUUUAAACAAAAACAAAAACCUUGUGUUUAUGUGAGAGCACUGAUGAAAAGUGUGGGAGAGCGCAAACACACACACACACAGUUCUUGGCUAAAUAAUGAAAAAUACACUGCUAAAUAAUGAAAAAUAUGCUCACUGGGACAUAAUGGAACAUAAAAAGAAAUGCUGAGUGUCAAAGAUCAAGCUUCUACUGCAGGUCAUCAAAAGUUCAACAGAGUGGAUCAUAUUUCACGUUCCUUGCAGCUGUUCAGAGCUAGUUGCAAUCAAUUGGAAUAUAGUCUGUUUUUAUUCUGGGAUUAUCCCAUAAAAAAUUGCAAUCUUUAGUCACUUAAUCCACCAGAGAGAAAUGUUGAUUUAUAGUGGAAUGAAAUCUUCAAUCCUUUGCACAUGGGGUGUUUUAGAGUUAAAACAACAAUUGAGGUUGAACUGCUGUGCAAUGUUCCUUCCAGCACUCAGAGCUGUUCCUUCCAGCUUCAGUCCAUUCACAGUUUGCAGUGCUGACCUAUUGCAGAUUUAUGAUUGGAAGACAACAAUGAAACUUAAUGUGUUGCACACCUCCCAGAUCACCUGGUUUCCGCAUUGCUACUGAAGCAGAUGGGCUAGUUCUUGGCUCCCCAAGUGUAUGGUUUGGUGGCAGGUUAAAGACCACUGUGGACUGGGAGCAGGACAAGACUGACCAGGCAUUUGAGAGAUUGAGUCCCUUUUCAUGAGUAAACUGUUCAUAUUAUAUAGUGCAGAAUAAAUCCUCCUUGGUGAAUAACAUUUUUCAACUCACAGCUUAACACAGUUUAAAUUAGCAAGGGGCAGCUUGUUGUCUGGACAGACUAGGUUACCAACUUAAUUUGAGCACAUGCACACAUAUCUGGUUACUGGGGAUUUAUCUGGCUAAGUUUUACUUAAGAGCAGACCCAUUAAAUUAAUGAGCAUGACCAAGGUCCAUUAAUUUCAAUUAGUAUAUCCUGAGUAAAACUUAGUUGAAUACAACCCUGUAAUCUUUAAUCAUAUUUGGAUAAUAGCUAUGUUAGGGUUUCAAAUGGAUGUCUCUGUGACCGGAGGUCUAUUCAAACAACAAUAUUCAUGUGGUGAGGGAAAGCCCUUUCUGUCAUGCUAGCUCACCAAAUCUCCAUAACUGAAUUUGUUGUUGUUUAGUCGUUUAGUCAUGUCCUACUCUUCAUGACCCCAUGGACCAGAGCACGCCAGGCACUCCUGUCUUCCACUGCCUCCUGCAGUUUGGUCAGACUCAGCAAAACUGAAUAGCAAUGCCUAUGGCAUUGAACACAAUUCUUACGUUAGGCCUAUAGGGAAGCAAGUGGUCCCUAAGGUCACCUGGUCCUAAUGCAACUAUAGCAUUAAAGGCCAGAACCAGCAUUUAGAACAGAGACCGGAAGCCAAAGGAGCUGACAUAAAGAUAGGUGUUAUAUGCCUUAAGCUGCAAUUGCUGUAUUUUGCAUUAGUGGAAGCUUCCCGCCUGGCUUCUAAGGCUUCCCAAUGUCUAGCAAUAACUAAAUCAUUAAUGACUGAGACCAAGUCCGUCUUCAUCAAGAAAUGCCAAUCCUGAUAAAAGGCACUCCUAACAACUGCAAUCACCUGAGCAUCCAGGGGGAGUGAUGAAUCAAGGAGUACUCCCAAGCCAUAUACCUGCUACUUCCAAAGGGGAGUUCAACCCCAAUCUAGAACAUGUUGACUCGCCUUAUUUAGAUCGCAUCUAUGCUUGACUAGUAGUACUUGCAUCUGGAUUCAGUUUGUUUGUUAAUCCCCACCUGAACUAUAGGAGUUAAUGCAAUUUAAUUUCACAGGGUCAUAUAGUUUCUGUCAGAAUAUUCUUCAGAUCUUGUUAAAAUCCUAUGGCUUCUGAUGGAGGAAAAUUCUACUUUUGAAGCUUACUUACUUGGAAGUAAGAGAGUGCUGAGUUGUGAAUCUGAUACCAGUGUCCCCCAGCUGAUGUCACUAUUUUCCUCACAGAGUCAUUGCAUAACAGUAGAGUGAUUGAGGCUAUCUAAUGAUCAAAUUCUCCAUGCCAUUUCUUUUUAGCAAGGGAAGAAUAUGAUUAGAUGCCUCCAGGUCUUAUCCCUUACUUUUAUAUUAGCUGCUAACAGUGAUGUCCCCAUAGUAUGCAGAAAAGUAAAAUAUGCUGAACAUCUAAUCAGUGCAUUUCUGACUGGUACACACACACACACACACACACACACACACACACACACUACUUGAUACAGGGAACAUUAUAACUUUCUGAAAAGGAUGACACAUGUCACAGUUAUUAGAAACUUUAUUAUGACCAGUUUUGACUACAUUAAAUGCUAUCCUGCCAACUGAGCUGGAAUUCUAGGGCUAUGUUUGCACGCCACGUUAAACCAUAGUUAAACUUGUCAUGGGCACCACAAAAUACCCAUUAAACAGAGGGAAAAAUAGCAGUGCUCAGACCUUUCCUCUCAAAAAAUCCAGGCAAAACAUUAUCCCCAACCUCACUCCACAGACAAAAAGAGCCUGCAGACACACCCAUACCAAAGUGGAGGGGGGCAAUAAAACCUUUAUUUUUUAAACAGAAAUAUUGAUUGGGGCAGUGAGCCUUCGGGAUGUAUCUGAGGGUGAAAUGAUACCCAAGAACAUCAAGUUGGAGACUCCAGGUUUAAUGUGGCCUGAAGAUGAACUUAAAUCCAGCCAGACUGAUCACAGACAUAGUCUGAUGUAUACAGUUCAACAGGACACUACUGGCCACCUUUUCUACAGUGGCUGUGAAACCCUUUGUAGAGGUGAUUCUGUCUUACUAUUGUUCACCAGAGUUAGGGUAUGCCUCUGGGGAAGGGGGCAAACAGUGUACUGUAUUGUGACCACCCCCCUUGGUUGCAAGACAUUUUGUUUUUAACAUCGGAAUGUAUGAACAGCUACAUUACUACAAGUAGACAUCUCUGCAAUACCAUAAAAGAUUAUUUGUUCUCACUUUUGCAAUGAACUAAGUGUCUAAAAAGCAACCGAGAUUACACAGCCUUACUUGCAAAAAAGGAGAGAGACAUUUGAUGAUUGCUGAAAGACAGUUAUAAUUCUGAAGUCGGAAUAGCUUUAGGAACAAAACACCUCAGCACUUUUUCUGCAAAGGUCACUUAAAUCCAUGGGGAAAUUAAUGCUGUAUUAUGUUCCAAGGAUGCUAUGAAGUGAUUUUGUCAUCUACUCUUCUUUUUUUUUAAGUGAAAAAAUCUAAAUUGUCUUCCAGAAGCAAGUUCUCUGGAGACAAGGCUGAUGCUAAUUUUAGUCACUGUGUAAACUAAUGUUCUGUCGUUCAGUUAUUUAAGUUCCAACAUAAAUUUACCUCCCAGUUGCUCCUUUCUACUGAGCUUUUAUCCUAAGGGGCUUACAUUUACAGAUAAAAAAUGAAAGUUUGUAACUGGAAAUACACAUUUAAAAAAUCCUCAUUAUUUGAUCCUUGUACUAUAAAUCAGGAAAUAUCCAUCUCCCUUGGGCCCAUUAGAGGCUUAUUUAAUAUUCAAUGCAUGUGUGGCAAAUGGCUUAUCCCUAGUCGGUGACUCCCAAGAUGGCUUCUAUCUGAAGCCACCAUGAGGCCAGGCACUAAGCCUAGUUCAGGAAUUGCUGUGCUGACAAUCAGCUAGGAUGAAGAUAGCAUAGCCUGGUGAUUAGCUGUUCUUUGUGUGGAAUGCAGCUCCUGAGACAAUAAAAGCAACCCUGGGUUGUGUGACCGGAGCAAUUGAGACAGCGGGUGUACUGGAGAUGGGGCAGUUUCUAGGGCCUGUCUGGCUCCCCUAAAACAAUGUGGAGAGCAAGAGGAGAAAGCCUUGGGAGAGUUUCUGUGAGAAUUUCCACAAUGGCAGAGUUACACUAUGCUCAAGGCCUGUGUGCCCUUUAACUGCCAAGAUUUAUAUAAGCAAGUGUUAAUGUAUACACAAUCCACAAGAAUAAUGAGCUGGUUAUUUUCCUGUCCAGGUGUUCAGGAAUACAGCCUACUGAGCUAGAAUAGUAAAUAUAGAUAAGAACAAUGGGUUUUAAAUAGAGGGCACACUGUUCCUUGCUAUCAGCCCAUGCAAAUAUUGCAGAUAUGUGUGUGUGCGUGUGCGCAUCCAUGCACACUCACCUAGCUUGCACAUGCUCAUUAUUUUGAGGCCUCCUUUACUCAGAAGGGUAGUCCACACCAGAAGCUUCCAUGUGUUAGUAUGAAAACAAACAUAUAGGAUACUUUUUAACAAUCAAAUAGGAAAAUGGGAAACAUACCGUAUUUUUUGCACCAUAACACUCACUUUUUCCUCCUAGAAAGUAAGGGGAAAUGUCUGUGCGUGUUAUGGAGGGAAUGCCUGCGGGUGGCGGGGGGAUCUGCUGCAGUCGUGAGCAGAGGAUCCAUGGUUCCCCUUCCUUCCCUCCUCCGUGGUUACAAAGCAUGGAUCCACAUGGAUCCUCAGGAUUUUUGCAUUGGGCUACUCCAAACUCACUGUCAGAUCACAUGUCUGUGGCCACAGCAUAAACCACAAAAAUCAUAUAUCCACUAUUUCGUUUAGAAUAUUUUUUUUCUUGUUUUCCUCCACUAAAAACUACGUGCGUGUUAUGGUCUGGUGCGUGUUAUAGAGUGAAAAAUACGGUAUAUAAAAGCACCUUAUAUGGGCUACAUACUUUACAUUAAUUAAACUCAAAUCCUUGACCACAGACUCAUCAUCUAAAAGCCAGCUUCAGUGUAAAGGAAAGCAAAACAAUUUUUAAAAACCCUGUGAAAAAUCAGAAUUUUAUAUCUUUAAAAUCAGGCUUCAAUCCUAAAAGCACUUACUGGAGAUUUGGUCCCAUUGAGCUGAAUGUAAUUUACUCUGAAUAAACAUGUUUAAGAUUACUUUGCCAGGCUGUGAUCCUACACACACCUACCUGGGUGUAAGCACCAGUGACGCUUACUUGUGGGUAAACAUUUAUAGGAUUACACGGCCUGUUAUUUCUUGCAAACAGUUUUGAAAGUUGGUUGAAAAACUGCAGAAUCCUUUGUCCUUUGUCCUCUGCCAGCACAAUCCCACAGAAUGCAUGCAGAACUGUUAUUUAAAAAUUCUGUAGUCCUAGGAAAUACCACAACACAGUUAUUACUACUGUACUACUUCUGGCAUUUUCAUAUUGACAUGACUACUUGUCUUGUAGAAGACCUAUAAGCAAUCUAGCCACCCUGACUGUCCACUGGAGGUCACUGGUUCUUUGCAGUGACAGUACUGUUUUGGGGACUGAAUAGAUUGGUUGUAGAAUAGAAUUGUGGACAAUUGGGGCUGUUUCUGUGGGUCCCUUUAACACGUAUCUAUGUAAACCUGUGAGCACUUUGAAGAUGGUGCCCAGCGUUGUGGUGGCUGCUGUUGUAUAGUGUGGUCCCACACUGCAGGGGAUGUAUGUGUGAAUAACAUGAAAUUGUGGGUGGGGGCAAUCUUUCAGCACUUGCCAGGAGGGAUCAAACUACGCACAAGCACACACGUGAAUAGGGUAUGUGAAUAGGACACUUGUUAUAGGAGUAUGAAAAAAGUAGUAUUCAGUGUUCUGAACCUUGGGAAGUUAAGCAUCUGAAGGACGCUGUAGAUAUGAGAAGGAGCCUUUUUCUAGUGGGUGUUUUACAGGCAAGAUGAGCCACUAACCUUUAUGGACAUCUGCAUUCUAUUUUCGUUUGCUUAUGUGUGUCAUUUGAUAGCCAUCUUGGCUGCUCAUUAACUUCAGCUGCUCUGUAGAACAUGACUGAGGAAGUUCCUCCCUGAGGUCUCAGUAAGGGAAAGUUGAAUGGUGGUGUUGGAACUGCAGCCUCAAUACUGAGGUGUUACAAAUUCCAUAUGUGCCGAGUGAAGUUGAAAUAAGAUAGAGUGGACAUUUGUACGCUCACUUUCCAUAUCAAGAUGAUCCAGCGGUAUUAAACUCUUUUUGUUAAUCUGCCCCUUUCAAAUUUCAUUGCAGUCAACAUAGCAGUGCACUUAGGAAACUGAUUUCAAUAUAGUCUGGAUAUACGAAAAAAAUUCUACUAGAUUAUAAUUUGUGGGAGGAGAAAAAGUACUGAAAUUUAGCCGUGAAUCAACUAUGGAAGCGCUAUGCACAUUUUAGGCAGACAUACAGUCUUCUCCACUAAAUCAAGCAUGUGGGAAGCUUAUUAUGAGCACGCAUCAAUGCAGUAAAAUCUCAGUGACCCCUCUUUUUAUAAGUACAUCUUUGAGUGCUUGUACAGAGUAAGUAGAACUACAUCAAGGCUCAGGCCAAUAUGAUGCAGUAGUGCAAUCCUUAGCGGAGAACUGUUGUAUUAAAGCUGCUUUAUGCAAACUAACUUAGCGACCCGAAAGGAGGAUGCAAUCACAAGACAUUGUUGCUUUCACAAAUGUGGUUUUGGAUUAGAGCUGCCAGACACAAGAUGCUUUGUGCUCAGCAAAGAUGGCAGAGGCAUUGUGCUUGAAAGGCAUCUCCUCAAAGUAAUUGAAAAUUACAUGCAGAACGAUUAUAGGUUGGAUGUGUACCAAAGGGUAGGCACCAACAGAAGAAAGCUUUGCAUUGAUUAGAUUCUCUUUAACUUAAGUUGGUUAGAAAUACGAUAUUCUUUUCUUCUGCCUGCCGUUUAAAGCACUUGGCAAUAUUUCCUUGCAACCCAAGGUUCUUCACCAAGAAGACACUUACUACUUGAUUGUCAGAAAAAUGGUUGCUGGGGAAAGCAUGUGUGUACUCACAUGUUGAUUUUAUUGAGACCUUGUAUACAGUGGUACUUCGAUUACAAACACCUCAGGUAACAAACACUUCGGGUUACAGACUCUGCUAACCUGGAAGUAGUACCUUGGGUUAAGAACUUUACCUCAGGAUGAGAACAGAAAUCGUGCGCCAGCGGUGCGGCGGCAGCAGGAGGCCCCAUUAGCUAAAGUGGUACCUCAGGUUAAAAGCAGUUUCAGGUUAAGAACAGACCUCCGGAACGAAUUAAGUUUGUAACCCGAGGUACUACUGUAUUUUCAGUAGAAGACUCUUCCUUGUGGCAACUAUUUUCUGAAAGCAGCAGCUUGAAACCGUCACACUGGGUUUGCUAAAAUAUCUCCUAGGUCCUAGGGCAACUCUUGGGGAACUUUUGCUAGGUUGAAAAUAAAUGCAUGAAUUUCACUUCCAUAACGUGUUUACAUAUGCAUGAAGUGUGUGAUCAUAUCUGCAAUUUUGUUGCCCCUCCAACCUGCCACCAGCGACACGUACCCCCUUUUGUGUGUCUUCCCCCCUCCACCUCCGGCACUUCUAGAAUAUAUCCUUUAACUGUGAUCAUGCUUGCCUGGAUGGAGAGAUGUGUGUGUAUGCCAAGGCGGGAGUCAGGUACAGGCCAGCAAUAACUGACGAGGUGUCAAUGAAGUUAACUCUUUAUUCAAAGAAACAAAACAGCUCAGGCCUCAUGAGCACAGCAACUAUUUCCUAGUACAGUAGUACCUCAGGUUAAGAACUUAAUUCAUUCUGGAGGUCUGUUCUUAACCUGAGAUUGUUCUUAACCUGAGGUGCCACUUUAGCUAAUGGAGCCUCCUGCUGCCACUGCGCAAUUUCUGUUCUCAUCCUGAAGCAAAGUUCUUAACCCGAGGUACUAUUUCUGGGUUAGCAGAGUCUGUAACCUGAAGCGUCUGUAACCCGAGGUACCACUGUACAGUCGUACCUUGGAAGUCGAACGGAAUCCACUCUGGAAGUCUUCUGCAGGAAGCCUCUGCAGCCCGUCGGAAGCUACGGAAGUCGUGUUGGGAUGUUCAGCUUCCAAAAGAAUGUUUGAAAGCCGGAACACUCACUUACGGGUUUUGAUUGUUUAGGAGUUGAUUUGUUUGGGAGCCAAGGCAUUUGAGAUCCAAGGUACGACUGUAUGUCUCUCCCCACUAAGGCAGUUGUGAGGACUGAAGGCCCCCACCUUCCCAUAGCUCUCUAAGUCUCCUCCUCCCCCAGGUUCUUCCCAAGCACCUGAGACUUCUUUGCCUUGUCUGCCUUUGCUCCGCCCUCUUCAUACCUCUUCAUACCUUUCUGGGAAAUCAGGAGGAAGGAGCUGGUCACCACAGGAGGAGAGACUUCUUCAGCAGCCUGCCUCAUCUCUGCCUCUUGCCCCCUCCCUCCAGCCUCCAUUUCUACCUCUGAUUCUGGACUGCCUUCUGCCAUAGCCCCUUCCUACUCACUAAGCCCUGUUUCCUUUUCAUCUUCCAACACCUGCUCCUCCUAGUCUGUUCCCUCUUCUCCUACUGACAACUCAUCUUCGUCCCACCACCAAUCCCAUGGCUCUGGCCUUCUUCUCUUGGGGAUUCUCCAGCUGGUGCCUUCCACCACUCCUCUGCAUCCAGCCAGUCCAUGACAGUGUGUAGAAACCUCUGACUUUUGCAUGGCCCACUGUGAAUGAGCAACAGGCUGAUGAACACUUUCAGUUGUUCCUGCUUUGCUCCACACUCACUGUAACUGAGGGAAACAAACCAUGAGACCUGUUUUAGCGUUAUGUGCAAAACAGCACUCAUGGUUUGUUUCUCCCAAACAAACAAGCACCAAGGCAAGAACAAACCAUGGCUUGCUGCUUGUGGGUUGGAGAGAAACAAACCAUGAAUACUGGUUCACACAUAAUGCUAAGCCAAGGCUUGUGGUUUCCCCCACCUGUAGCUGCAGUGACAGUGAGGACUCACACAGUCUUUCUUUUGCUCUGCAUUUCUAGACACAGGUCUGGGCUUUAAAACUCUGUGUCUGAGAGUGUGUGUGUGUGUGUGUGUGUGUGUGUGUGUGUGUGUUUGUCCCAGCACUUUCCCUGGGAAAACCCACUUUUAUCUGCUGAAUCAGAGCAAACAGAAACAGGGUUUUCAGUGAAUUGCCUUUUGCUCCAAUUCAGUGGUAAGACACUGGUGUCCCUGAGGAAAGCUCCAGGACAAAAGAAAAACCUGCUUGGACCUGUGCCUGCAAAACGUGGUGCAAAAGGAAGUCAGGAUGAGCCCUGACUGAGCAGGGCGUGCCAGCAUGCUGCUUCUUCACAGUAAGCUGUGGUUUAUGUCAUAUUUUGGCUUACUGUGACAUGCAUACCAGUCCACUGAUUUCCCAGCCUGACAGCAGUCAUGUCCUAGCAAAUCAUGACAACUGUGCCUCUCCAGUAAAACAAACAAACAAACAAACAAACAAACAAACAAACAAACAAACAAACACAUUUUUAUUCUAUUCCAGUUAAAGCUAGUUGUGUGACUAGGGAAGUUGCUGAAGUUUGUGAUUACUUGGCUUGGAAUUUGAAUUUGUCCAGCUUGUUAAUGCUCAGCUCUGUUAUAAAUCAAGUGUAAUUUCACCCAGACUUUCUUCCCUGGCUCGGAAUGCAAAAUGAGAUUCUGCACGUGUGAGAUCAGCAUUCAGGCUGCUUUUGCUUGUGCAAAUGUUCUUUCGGUUAGCCCCAUUUGUUGUUGUUGUUUAGUACUAGAGGCUAUGGAGAUGGAACUCAGUCCCAGUUCUGUCUACUCCAAUGGAAAGUAGCUCUCCAGAGGUCUUUCACAGAAUCUGCUACCUGAUCUGUAUACAGAGGUCACACUGUAUGUCAUGUCCAGUUGUGGUCUUUCUGGUGCUAUGCAGGAAAGGAAAAUGAAACUCAAAAUCUUUGGGGUGGGGUGGGGGCUCUUUUUAAGCUAAUGUAAGGGUGCCCUGUUUAAAAUCAAACCAUUUAUGUAAGCAGACCAGCCUUGAUAUAGAUGAACCAUAUGGUUACCUUUUCCUCAUUCUGAUUUUAUUUAAUUUUGUUUUACAUUUAUUUUCCCAUGUGUUGCAGAAGGGCUGAAGCUUUAUGGUUGCCUCUGGGAUCACUAAUAGAGAACAUUUCUCUCUCUCUCAGCUCCCACGUUCAUGAAAAUCAACAGGAGGAGCCACAGUGAUGUGUAUACCAAUGUUUCAUGGCUCCAAAUUCAAAACAUCUCACUCAGAAGUAAGUCCCACUGUUUUCAGUAGGGCUUAUUCCCAGGAGUGUAGGUAUCAGCUCGUUCUGUUAAUCUCUUUGGGUUACAGUCCUUAAGAGAAGACAAUGCGAGCAUGUCAUAGAGCAAGUCUAAUCACUUUUUAAAGCUAUAUCAAGCACUGAAUACUUUAACCUUCAUCUCCCAUCCCCAUCCUUUUCUUUGAAAAUGUCUGUUUUGGGGUCGGGUGGGGGAAAUGUUUGCUUUUAAAUAGUAUUGUUUGCAGCAACUACAAUAUAAAAGUUUUGGCAGCUGUUUUUAACUGUGGGGUUUUGCAGGAGGAGAGAAGUGCACACAGCAUUGUAUUUAUAGGCUUCUGUAGGAUUAAAUACAAUGUGUGGGUGUGUGCAAACAAUAUGAUUGCUGUAGUUUUGUGCUUGAUUUUUUUUUCUUUUUUAACGUUCCUUAUGUAACAAAAACAACUCAAGAAUUAAGUCCGUAUGAACACUAGACUCAUUAAAAAAAAUAAAUCUAUUUGAGCUUCCAUAAAAUUAUUCAUGGUUAUACCCUCUAUACUGUAUUGUGUAUAUUGGAGAGAUUGAGAUGGGGGAAGGUGGCGUUCACACAAGCCACUAUAGGCACAUCUUUUUUAUUAGAAUCUGUUUGCACAGGUGCUGGGUAAUUAUUUUGUGUGUGUAUGUUUUGUACUGUGAGGCUGAAUUGUCCUGAGAGUUGCUGUGGCAUAGUGAAUACAGUGUUGGAUUUCAACCAGAGAGGCUUGUGCUCCAGGCCCAGGAAUGCAGGCUAUUGGGAGCAAAAAAAGCAGAACAAAACCCACACAAAGAGACUGGGAGUGGGUGAAAUCAGGGCCACAACUUACAAUCAUAAGUGGCAUUAGUAUUGGGCAAGGAUCCUGGCUGGAUACUUGGAGGGUGUUGCUGGUCAGCAGAGACCUGCCCCAGUUCAGCCCAAUCUGGUGGGGACUCUCGCCAGAACUUGGGAACCUUGGGCAAAUAUCACUCAGCUUCACAGCAUUGUCACGAUAAUAAAAUGGGGGAAACUCAUCUCUGCCACCCUGAGCUCCUUUGAGGAUGGCAGGAUAUAAAUAAGAAAUAUUUAUUUAGCAGGAAUGGCAUUAGAUGAAGGAACACCAUAACAGACUAAUGCCUAAAGGGACUUUUCCCAUAGUGGUAUCCCAGCUAUAGAACUCCCACCUCUCUGAGUGCAGUGCAGACUCCCUCCAUGUCUAGUGCAGACUUUGUUCGCAUUUAAAAGGUAAAGGUAAAGGGACCCCUGACCAUUUGGUUCAGUCGUUGCCGACUCUGGGGUUGCGGCGCUCAUCUCGCUUUAUCAGUCAAGGGAGCCGGCGUACAGCUUCCGGGUCAUGUGGCCAGCAUGACUAAGCCCCUUCUGGUGAACCAGAGCAGCGCACGGAAGCGCCGUUUACCUUCCCGCUGGAGUGGUACCUAUUUAUCUACUUGCACUUGAUGUGCUUUCGAACUGCUAGGUUGGCAGGUUGUUAUCAUUUAGGCACACGCUAAAAACAUGGUUAUUUGGUAAGGCUUUGGGAAGUAACUGAAUGUUUCAGCUGGAACGGGAUGUUUGGAGUUUAAUUAUGUGCCUUAUCUGUGUGUUUUAUCUGCUUUUCUGUUUUAAUGUUGUAUUUUAACAAGUGUUUUACUGGAUUCUUCACCUAAGAGAUGGACUAUACUUUUAAUAAUAAAGCAAGUGGUGUGGAAUCUGCACUGAUUCCCAUCUGCAGUGAUCUGACUGACAGAAGCAAAUACAGGUGGAUGACGCUUGCAGUGGAUCUGAUCCUUGGGUUUCUGCCAAGAGGACACAUGCACCUUAUCUCCUUCUGCCUCAGCCUAUCUGGAUCAUUUCAUAGCCAGCCUGAAUGUCACAUAGUUCUAAGAUUAUACCCUUCUAGCUGACCUGGAAACAAACAGGCCAGACAGAACUGAUAGAGAAUUAACUGCAUAGCACAGCCAGUUUGGAAAGAAUGCAUUGUUCUGUCACAGUCAGGAGUCCUAGCUGGGAGACAGGGCUCCAGCCAGCUGGGAGCUUGUACUAGGGACAGAGACUAGGGAAUACCAGAUCACGUAUCACUAGCACUAGCUCAGUCAAGCAUAGGUCAUGUUCCAGCAGGGCAAGGUCAAACACAGCAGAGCAUAAGUCCAUAUAAGCAAGGUCUGACAAAUCAGAGGUCAAAGUCCAAAAGGUAAAGAAGCAAGCUAUGUAGCGCCUGGAUAGCUCCAAAUUGUACCUAGGCUGUUCAUCAGACAAGGCAGGCUUAAAUAUUGCUCCAACAACCACUGCGGGUGGCGCUGUGGGUUAAACCACAGAGCCUAGGGCUUGCCGAUCAGAAGGUUGGAGGUUCGAAUCCCUGCGACGGGGUGAGCUCUCAUUGCUCAGUCCCUGCUCCUGCCAACCUAGCAGUUCGAAAGCAUGAAGUGCAAGUAGAUAAAUAGGUACCGCUCCAGCGGGAAGGUAAACAGUGAUUCCAUGCACUGCUCUGGUUUGCCAGAAGCGGCUUAGUCAUGAUGGCCAUGACCCAGAAGCUGUAUGUCGGCUCCCCUGGCCAAUAAAGCGAGAUGAGCCCCACAACCCCAGAGUCGUCUGCAACUGGACCUAAUGGUCAGGGGUCCCUUUACCUUUACCUAUUGCAGCUUGUAAAACAGUGAUUUAAUUGCCCCCCAAACCUCAGGCUUUUAUAUACAUUAUUUACACAAUGAGUCCUGUCUGAUUGGCUGGUUCUGUUUCCCUCCUGGAGCCUGAUUGGUCUUUUCCUGCAGGCCAAUCAGUUGCUGCAUUCUACGAUCCUACCAGCCUAAUAGGUUGAUUGACUUCCUCCUGGAGCCUGAUUGGUCUUCUCCCGCAAGCCAAUCAGUUGUUGCAUUCUAGGAUCCUACUUGCCUAUUGUUCUAGGAUCCAAGCUUAGUACAUAACACUCCCUAAGUGCAGUCACUAAUUAGGAUCAUGCCAAGUGUUCAUAACUGGCUUGUCAUUGAAAGCCCUAUAAAACCUACUAUUCUCUGUUAGGGAUGUCGGAGAAAUCUGCUGUAAGCAGACGGAUACAGAAAUUCCCUUGUUUUGCUAAUACACUUGCUUGUCAGGAUAGAAUUUCUUCUUGCGAAUGCAAGCAGCGUUGUUGUCAAGGGUUUUGUCCCCACACCCUGAAGUCCACAGGUUAUACUUAAUGAUGUAUUGUACUCUUCUUUGGAAUGCCUAAAAAAGAAAUCCCAUGAUACAUCAAAACCCACACAUUGUUCUGUGCACCUAUAUGAUAGACCCAAAACAAACCCUUUUGCUGUGGGCUUUUUUCAGCCAAGGUAUUGAACUGUUUGUCCAGCUUUUCUGUUUUUAACAUGAAAAAAUGUUUUACUUUCCUCCACCAAAAUAGAAAUGGCCUCAGAUGUGUGUGUGUGUGUGGAAUGUGUUGGAAAAUUUCUACACCAGCUCUUAAUCCCAUUAAUGCUCUUGCUGAUUUUAUACUACUCAUGUUUUUAAAGUUGGUUUUAUCCUGGUUUUUUGGUUGAUUGUAAUUUACUUCUAAACAAAGUGUACUUCCCCACCCCACCUUGUAUUGUAACCCCCUCCCCCUUGGAUAUUCUACAGGCAAGGAUAUACUUUAAAAUAAGGAAUGAGUAAAUUGCAGGGUAGUGAUAGCCUGCAAUAGAAUACCAUGAUUUCAAAAAUGAACUUGCACUCUGGGUUUUGCCUAGCUGUGGGAACUUUAUACAUAAUCAUAAACACCUAUAGUUCUGACAAUACCAUGGUGAUGUUCCUUCAGUUAUGCAUUCUUCUAAAAUUAAUAUAUUUUUAAUUGUGUACCUCUCUAUAUAGUGUAACUCUGCUUCGCUAGAGGCACCUUAGCUGCUGACCAUAUUCAGUAGUACAGGGAUAACUGUCAGGAGAAUCUCUGAUGCCAUUCAUGUUGUGAUAUCACUCAUCCAUUACUAGUGCCUUCAACAACCCAGUAUUUUCUGAUAGUAUCAAGAAGCUGCCUCCGGUGAAAAAUAUUGGCUUGUUGUACCAGAAUGCCUUGUAAAAAACCAUCAGCACUGCAGAAGGCAAUUCACUCAUUUGCAACAGAAAACUCCAGUUGUUACCCUGGCAACCAACCAAUGAAUUAGUCAGCAUUAUAAUUAUGAACACACCAUUUUUUAGCAGUUUCAGUAGCACUUUAACAGGGUUUUUCUCUUACUAUUAUUUUUGUAAGAUAUAAAGUAGAAACAAAAAAGAGAAAGGGGAUUACAGAAUUUAUACAAUAUUUAGUAUACCCUAAUAUACUCAUUUGUAUGUUUUUUAAUCCUGUUCCGGUAUAGUCACAAAAGGUCUCCAGUUGUCCUUAAGUGAGAACUGUGUAUUUUAAAAAUAAUUAUCAAAGUCUGCCAUACACAAGCCUAGGCAGUGUGUAUAGAGGUCCUCCUGGCCGCCCAGAUGACAAGAUCCCUCUCUUGGCCUCCAUGUUGUGGUCCAAAGGAAAGCAGAGCAAAACAUUUUGGCACCAGCUUAGCUGCAAGAGUUGCUAGAAGGAGGUGUACAACCAUAUUAAAACUGCAGAAUCUCCUUCAGUCUAGAUGAGCUUCUAACCUUUCCUUAUCAGCUAAAUGCCAGAUGCUGAGUCGAAACAGGUUCUCUUCCAGCACCUGUCUUUCAAUUAAAAUCUGUGGCUUUUAAGCCCAAGUAAAAGUAAAGCAGAUAAAACAGAUAUUGCCUGUAUGUUGCAACUAAUAUUGACAGCUGAGCCAACUGACUUUAAAACUAUUCAAAAUAAAAACAAAUUAAAACAGAUGAGGAACUCGAGGACAAGCAGCCUUACUCAUUGCCAUCUUCAACUGGAAGUCUUGUUAUUGUGGCCUAUGGGGCUCAUGGUAAUCAUGGUCCAAAACAUUUAGGGAGCACCCAGCUGGCGAAAUUGCACAAAGUAGCAUAUGGUGCAAAACUAAGGCAGAAUAGCCUAUCCUUUCUAAAUUGGUUUAAAAUUCAAACAUAAAAAUGUUUCAAUGGCCCUCCUGAUGUGUAUUGUUCAAUCCCCAAACAUGCAGUGAAAGUUACAGAAUCUUUUUGCCAGCUUUUGUUUUGGCACACUAGCAGGGGGAAAAUCCCAGCUGAAUCUGCAAGGCCACCACUGUUGAACAAGUGACUACUGGCAGCAUAUUUUUAGAUGAGCUAUGGUUCUCUGUGUUUUUUUUUUCAAAGAUCCCGGUUAUUUGAAAUGAUUUAAGCUGUGGGAUAUGGUGCUGUCCUACCAAUAUUUAUACUUUGUUCAUAUAAGUCUGAGCUACCAGAUUUACUACUUGCAAAGCAUAUCCAAGUGUAUUUUUGGUUUAACACAUGGGGAGAUGUUCUGCAACAAGACUGUCUGGCCAUGCAGCAAGAACUAGUAUGCAAGCUAUAUGGAGCUAUGUAAUGAAAACCAUUAGGCUGGAUGCCGUCCAUGAGCCUAGUCCAGUUCUCUAGUGCAUAAUGAGACCAAGAUGCAGGUCCAGUCAUAAAUCUGUCUGCUUCUUAACAGUGAAAUAUAUUGUUUUUAUAAAGUUUUUAUGGCUGAAUGUGCAGUUGUGUGAAUCUUUCGCUUUGACUGCUUCUUUAAUGAAAAGCAGCAUUGGAUGCUAAAACCAAGACCAGGAAGAGAAGGGAAGUUGCUCAACCCUUUUUUCACUUGUCUAUUCCCCCCACAGCUCUUUUUCUUUCCACGUAGGAAAAGAUAUGAGAACCCUGUGUCUUUUCCCUUGUGGCUGGUAAAGCAGCACGAAGCAGCAUGAUUUUGAGUGAAGUGGCAAAAGCCCUUAAAAAGGGCAAAGAACAGGCAAAUGAGGGAUAUUGCCCAGGAAGUGAGUGUUGCCAAGCGAGAGCCCCAAGGACCAGAUAGAGGGGCCUGGAGGGCUGCCUCGUGCCCCUGACCCUGAGACUAUUGUGAUGUUUAGCAGCAAUAUUUCUAAUAAAUUAAUCACAUAAGUUUGUUGCAGAGCCCAGUUCAAAGUGCUAGUUGUCACGUUUAAAACCCUAAACAGCUUAGGGUUAUCUGAAGGCCCACUUCCCGCCCUGUUAUCUGCCCAGCCAUUGAGGGUAUCACUUGGAUUUAUGUCCCAGCAUUGAGGUUAGGCUAGGUGUUCUGGACAAGGCCUUCUCAGCAGUGGCACCUCUGUUCACUCUUUGGACCUCCUUCCCUCAGGUGGUGCAUUUGUCUCCCUCCCUUUUUUCCCCUUCAAUGGAUGAUAAGCUUUUUACGAUGACUGAGGCUUUCUCUUGUUUUCUCCCACAUGUUUGCUAUGUUUAAUCUGUGAAUGAGGCUAUUGCUAGGUUGUUGUUUUUUAAAUUUGUUUGGUUUUGAUGUUAGUAGUGCUGUAUUUUGUUAUGCACUUUUAACUCCUUGUCUGCUUGCUGUGAGAAAAGUGCAAAUUAAUAUUUGUACUUUUGGCUGAAAAGUACAAAUAAAUAUUAACAUAACAUAUAAAAUUUCCUAUGACAUUUCAGAUACAUGUCGCUUGUAAGAGUUCAUCAUGUCAGUGCAGUCUAGAGCCAGUAAUUUGUUAAUUUGACACAUUUCAGUUGUGCAGUGCAGUAAUCAGUUUAAGCUUUGCCUUGCCAAAUAUAGCUCACUGAGUAUUUUCAGAUUAUGACUUUACCCAGGGUGUUACUACAGGAAAAGACUCCUGCUAUAAAGGUCUCCCUUGACUAAGUGAGCAUCCUGUGAAAGAUGUCACAAUGUUCAUAGUUUCAAUGUAUUAUGUUGAUAUAUCACUCAUCCAUAGGAAUGGCAAAGUUGUUUCCAGAAGGUGAAAUAAUCUGAUAAACAAAGGGAAUUUGCAAAGGCAGCCACUGUGAAAUAUGGGUAUAGCUGGAAUAAAUUAAUCAACAAAGAGCUAUUGGUAUUUAGGUGUUGUGUUGAUGAAGCUUCAGUCCUAUAUCCUUUUACCUACAGUAACUCCAGCUAAACACAUUGGGGCUUACCUCCACAUCAGCGAAUACUUCAUAUAUGAAGAAACUACUAACCUUGUUUUCUGAAGGCAGUACCCCCUUUGAAUUUUUGCCUCCUUAAGGCCUUACUCUGCCUUUAAAAAAACACAACAGCCAGCAACCCUUCUGCUCUGGGCAAAUGUACAAAACCAACAUGAUGAGCAGUUUAUUUUGCUUGUAGACUCACUACUGAGCACUAUAAAGAGCCAUGAAUAUUUAAACACUGGCUGCCUAGUCAUCUUCUGUUUGCAUUCCACUGAACAUUCUACUGAUGUAGCACGCCAACAGGGAUGUUUGCGGGAGCAUAAAAGAGAAUGUGAAAAAUAUAUAUUAAAGCAAUGCGUUUGUUCUAAGAGUAUUCACUCCCGCAGAAGAAAAAGACCAGCCUUUCUUUCAGCCUGCAUGUGUUUUCAGCAACCAGGUUGGCAGUCAAUGCCAUGUCCAAGUUCCAAGUGAAUUUUGAGCAAUUGCAUUUUCUCUCGGUUUCAGGUCACUGAAGUUUUCCCCCCAGCUCCCAAACCCAUGCAAGGCAAAUGAACCUGAGUCUCUGCCAGCUUUAUUUUGGAGCAUAAGUAACCUGGACAUUUCGCCAGCUGUUGCUUAUGCUUUCAUGGGAAUGUUUUAUAUAGUGCAGGUGAUGUGUACAGAUACACAAUAGCUGUUCCUUCUAUGAAAUAUGCAGCAUUAGAUAUCAGAAUCUUGAUUUCAGCCAGGCAUUUAGGGUAUUUUCAGACAUGAGUUUAUUGUGGAAUUGGUGAUGUUCAUGCAUGCAAGAGUAUUGGAGUCUACACAACAUUGUCAUCAAAAUGCCAGCCUAUGCUUUUUUAAUGAUUGUAGGGGAGGAAGCGCUGAGUGACAUAUUGUUUGCCAGUUAGCUCAUGCUGUCUACCUUUCUGGUUUUUUGCCUUAGCAGCAGCUGGCAAAAGCUUCUACAUGAAAGAGAACAGGUUAAUGGUUUGGGAAAGUCAAUAGGAAAGUUUCUUAAGGACAUUCUUAAGGAUAUCAGAAGGAUCAGCUGGCAUUAAAAGCGCCACUGGAUUUAAAAUAUUUAUAUCUCACUUUUCUAGUUAUAUUGUUUCAUACAAUAAAGUGUGGACACUUUCUGUGGUUGCUCCCUGGUCCUAGAAUUGCCUCCCAAAGAAGUUAGUCUAGCCCCAUCCCGGAUAGUUUUUAGGUGGAUAGUAAAAAUUAUGGUUUAUUUUGUCUCGUUUUCAAUGGUUUUAACUUCUCUGCUUUCUUUGCUUUUACCCUUUCUUUGCUCUUAAUUUUUGCUUAAGUGCUUAUAAUUUAUUAAAUGGAUGAAUGGUUUUAUUGUUUUAGCGUCACAAGUAUUGCUUGGUUGGCCCUUGUUUAAGAAUGAAGAGAGGCUUAGAACGCUCUGAGAAAUAUUUUUUUUUUUUAGUGUAGAAAACAUCGCCAAUCAGGAAAAUAGCACCACGUGGCAACCUCAGAAUCAGCAGUGGCAUGUGAGGAGGGUGGAUCGGCAGUGUCACCCUCUCAGUGGCAGUGCUGUGUUCACCAGGAUGAAGAUGGGUGAGAUGGCAUCAAGAUUGGGGUGGUUUCAGGUUGGUGGCAUCUCCAUGGGUGUGGAGGUUCCCCAGAUAAGUAAUGUGUAAAAAAAAAAAAAGCAUAUACUAGGGUAAAAUGUGCAUAAAAAUACAUACAUUAGUGAAAACAACAUACAAAAAUGCAUUAUAUUAAGAAACAUUGCUUUGCAAAAGUGUGUAGGUUAGGAAAAAUUGCAUACCUAUGUGUAUAUUAUGAGAUUGGCAUUUUGAAACGUUGCUAAAUUUUCAUGAAGACUUUUUUUAAGCAAUGCGGAAAAGUGGAGAACUGAACUUAAGACUGGAAAAAUGAAAAACUAAGAGAAUCCAAAAUGAUCAAAUUUUCCUAUCCCUAAAAGUAUGAAAGAAUAUCUGUGUUUGAACAUAUGAAUGAAUCUGAACCUUAUAAAUGAAACUCGAAAUGUAGUCGAAAAGUUGAAUAAAGGAUUAGGGAAUGAAGAUGAAAAGCCUUUAGGACAACCAUUUUUUAAAUGCCCCAGCAAUGGGUGAAUGAGUGUUUUGAGGUUAUUCAGUCAAAAGCUGUCUUUCAUUUUAAAAAAAGCACUCUGUACCUAUUACUUACCUGUGGCAUUAGCUGAUCAAAGAAGCUGUGCAAAGCCAAUGUAAACAUUCUGAUUCCAUAUAGAAAGCACUUGUUAUCAGGGAUGUGUUGGGAUUGGAGUUCAUAGCACAGAGGAUUAUUUAUCCAGUAUGACGAUAAUUUUUCGUUGGCCCACACUGGAUUUUCCAAAGCUGAGAAAUGAAGGUCAGGAAGUAACUCUAUCUGGAGUUAUUUAUAAACCAGGUGCUUGCCACUUAUAAUAGUGACAUUUGACAUGGGGAGUUGUGGUGGGGGCGGCACACCAGUGGUGUGUAUUGAUUACCAGCAGUUUAACAACCGCUUCCUUUCAGGACCUCACCAAAGGGCUAAAAUGUGAGAAAGGGUGAAUUGGGCUGCUGAUACUCAGUGGCAACACUGAUAAAUGUAACUCAUUGAAAAAUGCAAUCUAGACAGACAUGAUCUGCCUAGACUAAAGGCAUCUUUUAUUCACAUCCAAAUAAUCAAAUAGUAACAUUUAUUUUUCUUUCCUUAAACUGGAUUGAUGUCUUGCCCUCAGCUUAAUUAUUUCCUUGGGGCUUUGUGUUUAUGUGAAGUUGUUUGUUGUUUUAAGUUCUAGGCAGAUCAGAACUGUUUAAAUGUGGUCCUAGUCAAAGAUUUUGUUGAGGAUCUUGGAAAGAGCACUGUGUACAUACCUAGCAGGCCAGCUCAAGUAACCGCCUCAUAAAGCUUGUGCCAAAGCUCAUCCCAUAUAAUUUGUUGACACUCAAUAGUGAGCAAUGCCUAUUGCUUUAGCACUGAGGUUCUCAGACUUCAUGCUCCUUCAUGCUACCAUUAGGCAGAGUGAGGUGGCCACUUCAGGCCGCUGAUUUGACUGCUGUGCAAGGGCAGCUAAUUGUUACUUAAAGUAAAGGUAAAGGGACCCCUGACCAUUAGGUCCAGUCGUGACUGACUCUGGGGUUGCGGCGCUCAUCUCGCUUUAUUGGCCGAGGGAGCCAGCAUACAGCUUCCGGGUCAUGUGGCCAGCAUGACUAAGCCACUUCUGGCGAACCAGAGCAGCGCACGGAAACGCCGUUUACCUUCCCACCGGAGCGGUACCUAUUUAUCUACUUGCACUUUGACGUGCUUUCGAACUGCUAGGUUGGCAGGAGCAGGGACUGAACAACAGGAGCUCACCCCGUCACGGGGAUUUGAACCUCUGAUCUUCUGAUCGGCAAGUCCUAGGCUCUGUGGUUUAACCCACAGCACUAUUUACUUAAUAGUUAUAUUUUUACUUCCAGGCAAGGAGAGAGGUACUUGUGGGAUUAUCUACAUCAGGUGCCAAAAUGAACUUGCUGGCUUGGUUGCUCUAUACCUUACUGUUGGGGGGGAGAGGGGGCACCAUUUGCUCUUCUGCCUCAGGCAGUGAAAUGUCUUGGGCCAGCUCUGUCUGAGAAGAGACCAUUGUUCCUGUUUAUACUGUAUCAGCAAUGCUAAAGAGAUAAUUAAAAUGGAUUUCCCUUUCCAAAGUUUAUUUUAUUUCUUAGCUCACUCCUCAUUGGUAGGAGGUCAGGGUACAACAUAAAAUAAGUUAUAAAAUAAAAAAACAGUAAAACAAAAAGAAAAAAUAUGAAAUACACUGUAAAACAAAGACAACUAAGUACAACUAGACAGAUAGGGAGGCUAAAAUAAUUUAAGCAGCGCACAACAUUAUCUGUAUACAUGUGUGUAUGUGUGAGGUUCCAGUUUCUAUCCUCACCCUUCAUUUUUGUGAUGAAUUAAGAUGGCUAUCCUAUCACAAGUAUUUGAUCUGAAAGUAAAGGUAAGUUUUAUUUGUUCUUUUAUGCUUUACCAUAUUGGCUUAUGGCCAAGCCUCAGGCCAUCCUCAUUCUGCUGCUUUUAAAAAACCAUACAAAUGUUGCCUGUCAUGUUAAUACAAUGGGCUGGAGUCAAGCUGCUUUCUAUUUAUAGCUUUCUUGGAACUAAGAAAAUGAGACAAACUGAAAAUAUAUGCUUAAUCACCCCCAGGAAAAGCUACCAUUAUAUUUUUGGUUGCAUAAGCAUACUAGAUUGGAAAAUCUGGGAUCUGUUCAAGACCUUUUGAUCAGAGCUUUGCAAGUGCAGAAAAUUAAAAACACAGACAGAUGGGGAUUAGAGUUGAGCAUCGGGAGAAUAAUUUCCUUUUUUAAUUUUAGUUCCACCCAUGUAUAAAAAGUAUUAACAGCCCAGUUAUGUAACUUGCAUCAAAGCUCAACUAUAUAUGGAACAAUAAUGCUAAAUGUAAUUAAGUCAUUACACAUUCUGUGUUUGUUUUUAUGGAGAGGAGAUUAUUUUCACAUGCAUGAAGAAAAUGCACCAAGCAUCCAGAAAGAUAAACAGAUGGGCCAAAAUCACUCAUCCAAACUUUUUUGGAUGUUGAGUGUUUGGAUACCCAGUGCUUUUUUGUGGGGGUACUCAAGGGUACACAGUACCAGUGCCUUUUUUCUUUCAAAGUUGAAGACGGUUGGGGAAAACCAAUUUUGCAAGAGAUACAAAGAAGAAAGAAACACCUGCUUCUUGUUCCCUUAAGAAACCUCUCAUUUUAAAACAGGAUUUUUUCCUUACAAUUAUGUUGCAUACACAAACAGAACACAACUUACAUGUUCUAAUUCAUCUGAAUUCAGUUUUAAGAAAUGAGAAGUCAUCCAGGAGGAAACGGAGCAUGUAUAUAAAAAUUGUAGCUAAGAAAGCAAGAGUAAGAUGAGGCGAACAGCAACAGAGUUGAAGAUCAGCACACAAAUAAUCCUGGAAACAAAACAACACCCCCCCCCAAAAAAAUCCCCCUGCAAAAUAUUAGAUGCAGAGGGGAAAUAUAACAUUAACAAAGAGAUUGAACUGUGGACAAAACUUUCAGGAACAGGAAAGGACCACAGAAAAGUUGGGGAGAGAGAACUGCUCACAGAAACUUUGAAGGAAUUACCUGGCUUUUUAAAAUAAUAGCAGAUGGCUAUACUAAGGACUAUCAAUUAUACUGCAGUCCUCUGCCCCCACCCUGCCAGCUUAUUUCCUUCUCAUUAGAAUCAAUGUGAGGGAAACUUGUCAUAACUGGAUGGUGAGGAAGGAAAGAUGCAACACCCCCCCCUUCCAUGCAUUUCUCUUUUGCCCUGUUGGUACAAACUGAGCAGAAUACAGGAAAAGGUGCUUUGCCUGCCUUUGGCUCCAUCUCCCCCUUUUUUUGGUAUUGCCCUGCCUGAGUUUUUUCUAAUAAUCUUGCUGAAUCCUUUUACUCUGCAGUCAUUGGUUUUGUGAGAAUUUUCUCCUAAGAUUUUGAAUUGAAUCAAAUUAACUCCAAUUUCAGAGUAGUUACUUGUCUGCCAUGAAGGUCAAGGGACUUUCCCCUUGUGUGUAUCAUAACACUUCAGAGCUGAUUCCUCACACCAUGCUUUCAACCACAUUUAGGUAAUUUUAGACUCUGGACUUAAUCUUACGGGGAUUCCCACCCCCUCCGACUUUAGAUGGUCAUGUGUACUACGUAACUUGCUUCAAAAUGUGGUCAGGCAGUCAUGCUAUGGUUUUUGGAGGCCCUCUUUUUGCUCAUUCUUCUGAGCAGGGGGUCCUGGAACUCUGCCCAAAAGUCCCGCCCUGAUGUCAUCAUCACUGUUCAGUGUUCACAUAGGCAUGAUGGUGGUAGUUUGCCUUUGAGAACAUGAAGGCAAAACUUUUGUGUUGUACCACCAAAAGAUUAAAAAAAUCCAGACAGACAUGUCUAUUUUAGCCUGUUGUAGCCAAAACAGCAAAAGGACUUGUGGCACCUAAAAGACUAGUCAAAUUAUUGUGCCAUAACCUAAGAGAGAAAAAAUAUUGCCUUCAUUUGGGAGCCAGACUUCCCCAACACUCAGCUUCCUGGCUUUGUUUCUUUGAUAGUUUAGAUAAGCAAACACUGAGUGAAUUCUAGACAAGGGCCCUUUGAAGGCCCUUCAAAUAUCAUCGGAGCAGCUCUGGGACUAUCUGUUCUGCAGCUGCAAGUUCCUAGGGAGGAAAUGGAGGGUGAAGCCCAACUGGAACAGGAAACAGAAUGCCUUGCUGCUCUAGAAGAAAGGGCAGGAGCUAGAAUUCCACAGAUCCUGAUGUUUCCCCCAAUGUAAGCAAUGUGAGCAUCUUGAUAGCCACAUAUGUGUGUGCGGAACUAGAUAGUAGUCCAGAAUCAGCAUUUUGGUCUUUGUCCAAGGUCCUGAUCUUUCCUUGCCUUACCUUCCUGUUCCAGGCCUGCAAAUCUCCACCAUGGCUUGGGCUGUCACUUUCCCUUAGUGGUGGACCAAGACCUUCUCCUGUGCUUUCUAGGCGUGGGUCCAAGUGGUUUUUCGUUUGUCCAAUCUUUUUCCUAGGGGAAUCCCGCUGUUUAUCACCAAAUCAGAACAAAUGUCAGUCUGCAGAAAGACCAAUUGAUGUUUGUUCCAAUUCAGUGGUAAGCAGUGGGUUUUCUUGGGAGGAAGUACCCAGACAAGAAGAAUGGAUGAGCCCUUUUAAAUGGGUCUAUUCUGAGUAAAACCUAAUUGAAUACCACCCAUUGCAUGUACAAAGAGCAGAGAGGAAUGAUGUAUAAAACUGGCAGUUGAGAGGAACAAGUCAACUCUCACUGAAUGAGAUGGCAAUGGGGUACAACUAAUAGAUAGCUAAUGUUAGCACAGGGUAACAGAAACUUUCAGAAAACCUGUGGCAGUCUGCUCUCUUUUUGGAAGUACUCUAAAACGGGUGGGCAACCUAAGGCCUGGGGACCAGAUGCGGCCCAAUCACCUUUUCAAUCUGGCCCAUGGACAGUCUGGGAAUCAGCAUGUUUUUACAUGAGUAGAAUGUGUGCUUUUAUUUAAAAUGAAUCUCUGGGUUAUUUGUGGGACAUAGGAAUUCAUUCAUUAUUAUUUUUUCAAAAUAUAGUCCGGCCCACCACAUGGUCUGAGGGACGGUGGACCGGCCCACAGCUGAAAAAGUUUGCUGACCCCUGUUCUAAAACUCUGACAAGGCAGGCCAGGUCAGUGGAAAUAAUGUCAGAGAAACCUGAAGCAAAACUGACAGGCUACAGUUCUUGUUUGUACCAGUAUUGCAAGGGGAGGGGGUUCACCAUUUUAUUAUAAGUUGACAGCCCUUAGCACCAGCUAGGUACCAAUAAGCUUGCCUUUUGUCUAAAAUUAUAUUAUUAUGAAAUAUGCUUUUUGUUUGCUAUGCUACAAACUGCUCUUGAUUUUAUUCUGGGGAUAAAAUGUUCCUUGCAUAAAGAGUCCAUUUGCAUUAAAUCAGUGAGCAUGUACCCAGAAACAUCAAUUAAAGUUAAUAAGAUACUUUCGUAUGGCAUCAGGAAAGGUGGAAUCAUUUAAAAACUGUUAAAACCACUUCCCUCUGGUGCUUAUAGCAGCAGGGUAGCUGUAAUCUCUUGUUUUUCCUUUCCUCCCUUGGAAACAAUAAAAUCCCUUAAAGUUUACCUUUUGAAGCAUUCUUAAAAUACAAUCAUAUUAAUCUUUAGUCAACCCAAAACCAAUCUACAGUUUUUGCUUAUACAGUAAAAUAUCUCUUAUCCUGAAUUCACUAAUCCUUGUUCUGGAUGUUGCAUUAUAUAACUCCCACACAGGUCUGGCCCUACCAUUAGCCUGAGUGAGGUAGCUGCCUCAGACAGCAGAUAGGAGGACUGCAGCCCCACUGAUAUUCCUCCUGUGUCCUUCAGCACCUAAGUUAGCCUGCUGCCCUCAGAUGUAAUGAUGUGCACUAGCCCAUUGCUAGUGUUGAAGUGAGAUUCAGUUGCAGCACCAUCUUGUCCUUUGCCCCAGGCAGUAAAAUGUAUUGAGCUGGUUCUGCUCCCACAAUAACUACCAUGGACAAUUAUAUGUAUACAAACAUGGUAGUGAGUUUCCUACUGCUCAUUUGUUCUCACUUGUUGUCUUUUUUUAACAGACUCACAAGACAUUCACUGUUUUCUUACAGUGCCUGCCAUUUGCUGGAAACUAGCAAAGUUUUACCUAAAAUUAGAAUAAGAUUAUUUCCCAAGAGAUCAAGCAAAUCUCUAUACUGUUCUAAUAACUGACCCAUGUUCCUUCAUAAAAGAAUGUAAGUGAUUUGCCAUUGGAAUGGUUCACACAUAGGUUUUCUUCACCUGAUAGCCCCAUUUAGUGCCAACUACGUGAGAGGGUUCUGAGAAGGCACCCAGGUAACCCUACCCAUGAACACUGACAUGCACAAUAGUAAUAAAGAGUUGACAUCAGACUGAAUGGGGCCCUAUAUGUAUGGACGCAGACAUGUCUGACAGCUUCUAUGGGGAUUUAACCUGGGGUGAAAAGAAGUGUAGGGGGUUAGGAGGUAGGAGGCUAUCCAACAGGUGCAUCACUACUUUAAAGAUUAGAUCAGGAUAUAAAUUUCUUCAACAUGCAGUGACAAUGGCUGUUUAGAUCAAAUGUUUUGGGAUCAGUCCAGUUUUCUUCUCUAAAAAGCUGUUCCCAUCAAGUUGCAAUGAUGGGUUUUCACUUUCACAGUAUGCCCUAAUAGAAGAGAGAGGUGUGUGUGUGUGUGUGUGUGUGUGUGUGUGUGUGUGUGUGUGUUCAGCUGAACAAACUAUUUGGAAGCUAUUAUUCAUACGCUUAACUUCACAGUGGAUUGCAUGCAUGAUUCAGCAGCUAAAAUAGUUCUACUAUCUUCACCUUCAGAUAUUCAUUUUAUUGUUAUUGUUACUGUUAUGGGUUGUUGUUUUUAAUCCUUACUCCUUAGGGCCAAACCUGUUCCUAUUUCAUCACAGCACUAUAAUGAAUUGCGGCAUACAAAGCUUGUCAUACAAUAUGCAGUGCUAGAGCAGAGCAGAGAGAAUCUUUGGGGUAGGUUACCAUAGAAACACUGACGUACUGCCUGGCUAACAGGACAUUGAGUUCUUGAAUGAGAGGCAGUUUAAAAAAAGAAGAAGAAGCUGUUAAAUGGCUGAAAGCCAAUCCAGCUAAACCAUAGCUUUGGAUCUUCCUGCAGAGUACAACUCUAAAAGCUGGGGAGAGGGGGUGGGGUGGGAUGGGGAAACUGCCCUUCACUUUAUAAAGUUAUUACUGUUGGACAGCUGUAUUUUAUAAAUAAGGGAAAGCAGCAGCUCUAGAAAAUAAUUAAACUGCUAAUCAGAACAGAGUCAAGUGAGAGUGCCAGAAACAUGUCAGCACCUGAGGCUGCAAAAUGUCUCAAACCUGCUUUGCUUCUGUCACCAGAUGCAGUGACCCGGCUGCCUUUAUGUCAGUAGAAAUCCAAGCCGCAGGGUUGCAACCCAGUGGCAAAGUCCCCAGGCUGGCCCUGAAAUUAGGCAAGGUAUUUUCCUCAAGUUCUGCAUCUGUAUUUUGAAAUGUGUCAUCCUCUUGUCUGAGGAGGAAGAACCUUCUUGGCUGGAAUACGAUGCCUGGGGGUGAUCACUCAGAAGAAUAAAACAGGACUGCUGUUCUGCUUUCCCCAUGUAUGAAAACUAAAAGAAAAAGUAGGUUUGACAACUUUUUCUAUUGGCUCCCCUUUUGUACCUUUAACAACAGUCUGGCAUACAAGAUUUGAACAGAAAAAGAUUUGAUGGCAUGGUGAUAAAAUGAUGAGAAAAGCUUCAUUUGCUUUAUUUCUGUUAAAAGAGCAGGCCCAAUAAAUUAAAAAAUAUGGCAAACUAAGAAAAUUUAGCCUGGUUCAGAUGUAACCUGGCUAUCUUGGUCCAAGAAACCACGGCUUGUGCCUGCAUAUUCCCUCCUCCACUUUCUUCAUGUGCCAUAAUGCAAAAUUUCUAGUUUGACAGAACACAGUUUCCAGUUAUGCCCCAAGCUGCAAUUUUAAAUGGUUGCAGUACACUUGGGAAUAGUGGAACCACAUGGAGAUAGUCAAUGGCAUGCAUCUUUCUUACACAAACUCUGCCUUCCCUCCCAGCAGGGUGAAGGUUGAAUUGGAUGAGAAAGGCCCAAGUGAUUGGUCACACCCACAUGGUUCUUCAGUGCUGUUGUGUGGCAUCAGGACACUCAGAAGUGCCUUCCCAUCUGAAGGAAGCUUCCAGGUAUUCUAUCUCCUGGUGGCUAGAAUAGCAACUGUAAUACCAAAUCAGUAGUGGGGAAAACAGUUGCUACUGGAAGAGGUGCUUCCUAACCUGGGGGAGUGGCACUAUUCCCUCUCCCAAUUACUGCUGGUGAUCACUGCCUUCAUUGCCUAUCUGGCUUAUGGGUGUUGGGCAUGCUGCAAAUAGCACUCUCAAUACUACCUGUCGGAAAGUUGUUACUUGGAUUAAGAAGUAUUUCACAUUCCUGUUUUUCAUUACAUUGCCAGAUAUUUUUCUGAUUUGUAUCUAGUUUGACAUCACUAUUUCUUACUGGAAAAAUAGUCAAAUAUUAAAUAAUACAUGGUGUGGAGGGAAAGCCACUUUUAUUCAAGUGGCAAUUUGCAUGUGUGAAUGAGCCAUCAGAGAGCAAUCCGCUCAGACAGAACUUUAGUAGUACCCCACAUAAAGCUUUUCAGUGGAGUCAGUUCACACAUAUAGGGCACUUCCAGACUUUCAGAUAUCUGGGUAGUUGAAGUUUCCCAUGACUACUAUAUCUCUCAUUUACAAAGAUAACUUUACUAAUAUUUUGUUCAUUUUGCAUCCUGCUCUUUCUUGUGCAAGUUCAUAACCCUUCAGAGCAGUCAGCAAUAUAUAUAUAUAUAUAUAUUCCACAGUGCAAAUACUUACAAAAUGCUUUUGGUAUGUGCCACAUUGCAAGCACUUUAAAGAUAAUUGCUACUUCAUAAAUAAGAAUAUUCUUCAGAGUCAGAACACAUAGAUUGCUUUCAUCUAGGAACCAUGAAGCAAACCUAGUGAAUGUGCAGCAAAGGCAACUAAGAUUCAGUGCCAGUAAAUAAUGCAAAUUGAGGCAAAUAAUAAUAGCAAUCCUUGAUUUAGUAGGCCUUUAAUUCAAAGGUUUAAAGAACACUAAGUAAUGCUGCCUUGUUUAGGGUUCAACAACUUUUGGCCCUUCAUUUAACAUGAAAGAGGCUGCCUAUAUAUAUAAGGUGGGAAACCAAAUAUGCUCCCUUAAUUCUUCUCUCUAGUUGGAAGGUUAGAACUGAUCUCUCCAAAGCAAAAGCAUCAGGAAAACUCAUUAAAACUCUUGCAUGCUUUUACAAUUAUGCCCAAGCCACCAAAGUCUUUGAAGCAGAAACCACAGCGUAGAGAAGUAUUUUUUUUACUGACACCAAUUUAACAAAAUAAACUAUUAUUUUCCGCCAAGUUUGCUGAAGCAUUGUUAUAUGUGGUGCUUAUUUAAUCCUGGAAGUACAGGAACAGCAAGUUCAGUUAUCUAACUAAAGAAAUAAAAUGAAAAUUGGAGUGGGGUAUGAAAGAGGUGCUUCUGCCUGAUCUCCAAUGUUUGUGUGUGUGUGUUUUAAAAAUAACAACAUAGCAAUGUGAGCCACACUCCCCCCUGUAACAGCUGAAUGCCUUUUUAAAUUAUGUAAAACCACCAGAAGGUUGCCGGUUCGAAUCCCUGCGACAGGGUGAGCUCCCAUUGCUCGGUCCCAGCUCCUGCCAACCUAGCAGUUUGAAAGCACAUCAAAAUGCAAGUAGAUAAAUAGGUACCGCUCCGGCGGGAAGGUAAACGGCGUUUCUGUGCGCUACUCUGGUUUGCCAGAACCGGCUUAGUCAUGCUGGCCACAUGACCCGGAAACUGUCUGCGGACAAACGCCGGCUCCCUCGGCCAGUAAAGCGAGAUGAGCGCCACAACCCCAGAGUUGUUCGCGAUUGGACUUAACAGUCAGGGGUCCCUUUACCUUUUAAAACCACCACAGGGCGGCUUGUGAAUAUUACAUUCAUUUAAUCGAUCCUGAUCUUGAAUACCAGCCUUUGGUUCUGUUUUUAUAACAGUCAAGUCAGAUUAAACAUAUACGCCACAAUUUGUUUUUAAGAUCACCUAAUAUGGAUUUAACACAAUUUAAAUAUCUUCGCAUAGUGAGGAUGGUUAAACUGAGAUUCCCCCCCUCCCCCUCUUUGUCAAAAAUUCUGAUUCAGUAAAACUGGAAUGUUUUUGCAAACAUGAAUGUAAUUUAGAAUGACUUGUUUUCCUGAGAAGGGCCCUGUAACUUUUGAAGAGUUGUACAAAGAGGUAAGCUAGAAAAGGUGGCAGCACUAGGUCCGCCUAGCCCUGCAGUCUCCAAGUCUGAUGUGGGUUUCAUCAGUGAGGCAUGGGCAGUUGCCAGGUUAGUUAUACAACCUCUUGCCUGAUGCUUCACAGAUAAGUUUUUGUGCACAUCUUGCUUGGCCAGAAAGCAACAUGCUAGCUAUGCAAGCAGCACCGUGGCCUGAGAACCAGCUCUGCCACUAAAUCUCAACUGAAGUGUGCCAUAGAUAAUUGCUUCAUCCUGUAGCAACUUGCAUCAAAUGAGUUAGCUGUGAAUGCACACUUGCUAUGUACCUAUACACAGUAACCUAUGGUUUGUUGUCUGCUGUUUUUAAAAUCUGCUUUUCACUGUAUAGUCUUUCUGAAGAAACGUGAGGUCCCCAUUAGUUUGGAAGGAGAGGCAUUGGGAGCCCCAGUUUGCUGAGGCUUACUCAGUUCUAACUUUGAGGCCACUCAAGGAGCUCCAUGCUGAGAUCUCUUACUGAAUAAGAGUUCCUUCUUUGCCUUUCUAUAGCACCAGACCCUCAAUUCGACCUUCCACUCAAGACAAUGGUGAGUGUGAAGACAGAGAAUUUCUAUCAGCUGCUGCAGGGAAAGUGCUGCCAAAGUUGGUGGGAGAAUUUUCUUGCUUCUGCAGAAGGAAGGAAGGAAGCAGAACCUCAUGGUCAAUAGCAGGAGUGAGCACUGCAGGUUAUCUCCUUUGACAUGAACAGGAGGAAAUGUUUUACAAAACAGAGGUGGUCUGUGGAAUAGUAGAUGAUUGGAGUUACAAAAGAUACCUCCCUAGAUAGGCUGGUAGUACCACUCUGUAGGCCUCAUUAUCCUACCAGCCCCCCUCAGGGUGUUCUUCAGUCUUCCAACUAUAGAAAUAAAGUGCAGAAUUCACACAGGCGUGCAGAGCUUUGAAAUUCUCUAUUAUGUGCCUUCAGCAAAAGCAAAUAUUCAGGGAAGCAUUUAUUUAAAGCCAGAAAAUGUCUGGCAGAAGAGAAUACGAUUGAAAUACGACCGCUUUGCAGAACCUGUUGUGGAUUUUGAUUAUAACUUGGAUCUCAUUGACUACUAUAAUCACCCAGACAAAUCUAUACAUGCCAACUCAUAUCUUCACUCCCCACUCCCCAGGUACACCUUUGACAUGGUAUUUAGAAGCAGACAGGUACAUUAUGAAUUUCUUUGCUUUUGAAAAUGCUGUACUGCAUCCUUAUGUGGAAUUUUAUGUAGCAGUUGAUCUACUUUUUUAAACGUAUUCCCAUACCCUCCAUCUUUUCUCCAAUUAAAAUAGGGACAUCCUAUCCCAUAAUGAUAAAUUUCUAUUUAUACCCCACACAUCUUAUUGGGUUGCCCCAGCACUCUGGGCAUCUUCCAGCAUACAUUAAAAAAAUAAUAAAACAUUAAACAUUUAUUAAAUUACAGUGGUGCCUCGCAAGACGAAAUUAAUUCGUUCCGCAAAUUUUUUCGUCUAGCGAAUUUUUCGUCUUGCGAAGCACGAAAUCCCAUAGGAAUGCAUUGAAAAUCAAUUAAUGCGUUCCUAUGGUCAAAAAAAGUCCAAACAAAGCCAAAUUUGGUACAACAAGAGUUUAUUAAGUGCUCUUUAAAGUCACACAUACUGUAAAGAGCAUUUCAAAAUUCAAACCCAGAUUUUUUUAAAAAAACAGCAGAGUUGCCCAAUGGUCACAGAAAAUCAUAAAAAUGCAGAAAAAAACACACAAGCCUCCAGAUUCUUGCAAACCCCUCCCCAACUGUUCCCCCAGCCACCCAGCACACAGAAAUUCAAAUCCAGAAUUUUUUUAAAAAAACAGCAGAGUGGCCCAAUGGUCACAGAAAAUCAUAAAAAUGCAGAAAAAUACACACAAGCUUCCAGAUUAUUGCAUACCCCUCCCCAACUGUUCCCCCAGCCACCCAGCACACAGAAAUUCAAAUCCAGAAUUUUUUUAAAAAAACAGCAGAGUGCCCCAAUGGUCACAGAAAAUCAUAAAAAUGCAGAAAAAAAAACACACAAGCUUCCAGAUUCUUGCAAACCCCUCCCCAACACCAAGUCCUUGAAUUCCAAACACCCCAACCCAAAAUCCAAAACCCCCCAACCCCCCCCAAAAAAUUUUUAAAAGCUUAACUUACCAAAUGGCUGCAAAGAAGUUUUGGAAAAGCUUCAAAAAUCACCAAAGUCUUUAAAAACCUCAAAAAAGGCUACUACUACUACUGCGUUCUAUGAGUUGCUCCUCGAAGUCAAGUCGCAACUGUAUUAAUGGUGUUAAGAAAAAGGAAACAAACUUGCAAGACGUUUUCAUCUUGCGAAGCAAACCCAUAGGGAAAUUCGUCUUGCGAAGCAGCUCAAAAAACGGAAAACCCUUUCGUCUAGCGAGUUUUCCGUCUUGCGAGGCAUUCGUCUUGCGGGGCACCACUGUACUUAUACAGGAUUGCCUGCAGACAGCUCAGGGGUUGGAUAACUCCAUACAAUCCAUCAUUUCUCCAAUGAAAAUAGGGACGUUCUAAGGAAAAGUGGGACAUUCCAUGAUCAAAUCAGAAACCGGAACAGCUUCUCUAAAUCAGGGAUGUCCCUGGAAAAUAGGGACACUUGGAGGGUCUGUACUUGCUAAUAUUUGAUGAACACGAUGAUGAGAGGAAAUAUAUGAUCCAUUGAAAACUUUCAGUACAAUUCAGUGCACGGUUUUUACUUGGGAGGGUAGUUAGAUACAGUAUGUGAGUGGCCUUUGUUGUAAGCAUAAGAACAAAAUAAGUGCCUGCUGGAUGAGGCCAAUGACCCAUCUAGUCCAGCAUCCUGUUCUCACAGUGGCCAACCACAUGCCUGGGGGAAGCCUGCUAGCAGGACAGGAAUGGCACAGCUUUUAAGUGGGGUAAGUAGGAUUGAUUCCUUUCAAAUAUUUUGUAAAAUGAAUAUUUUACUUUGUGCUUGCUGCUGUUGUUAUCUGACUUUAAUGUCUUUGUUAGUUUAUUUUUACUGUGCAUGUCGCUUUAAAGCACUUAAUUACAACAUGUGACUAAAACAACAACUUGGAUGUAAGCCCCUUUCUUCAAUGAAGCUUAAUAUCCUAGUAAGUAUGGACUGCAGGUAAGGUAAAGGUAAAGGGACCCCUGACCAUUAGGUCCAGUCGUGGCCGACUCUGGGGUUGCGGCGCUCAUCUCGCUUUAUUGGCUGAGGGAGCCAGCGUACAGCUUCCGGGUCAUGUGGCCAGCAUGACUAAGCCGCUUCUGGCAAACCAGAGCAGCACACGGAAACACCGUUUACCUUCCCGCCGGAGUGGUACCUAUUUAUCUACUUGCACUUUGACGUGCUUUCAAACUGCUACGUUGGCAGGAGCAGGGACCGAGCAAUGGGAGCUCACCCCGUCGUGGGGAUUCGAACCACUGACCUUCUGAUCAGCAAGUCCUAGGCUCUGUGGUUUAACCCACAGAUGCCCUAAUUUGGAUUGUGAUCACAGCAGAAGGAAAGGGUUAAAAUCCCACCAUCUCCCCUAGGCCUCCUGCCCCAGCUGUUUACUUUUUAAAAGGUCAUUCACACAGUUACAUGAAUGGUGUUGCAUCUAGCUUCGCCCUGUAUUUUGGUGAAAAUAGAAACUCUCAGCAGGGGAUGUUUAUAGGGCAGUCUUAUAGUGUCAUAACCUUUUGGGAAUAAAAUCCAUUCAUGGUGUUGCUUCUAGUAAGAUCAAACACAGGCAUCUGAAGAAGAAUCAGAGUUCAGAAGGGGAAAUCUGAGCAAUACUGCAAAAAAUAAAAAUAAAUCACUGUGUGAGGAAGAAUGAUAUUUAUUGUGUGAAUGAAAUUUGCAAGUGACCUGUCUAAGAAAUUGCUGCUGCCACCAUCCUGUGCUCUGCUUUUAUAGUUGCUUUUUGGAGUGCUGGGCCCAAAGUUGGAACACUGUGCUAGGUUAGGGGGCCUGAUACAUUCUGCACUGCAGGCAAUGAGCUUUAAUAAAUAAAUAACCUCCUGAAAAGCUAUGGUUGUAGUUCAGUGUAUUGCACUGGCAAAUAAUGAGAAACAAAUUUCUAUAUCAAAGAGAUCCAAAAAUAGACCAGGGCCAGGCACAAACACAGUCAUGAAAUUAUUUGUCCUUGAUCUCCUCAGUAUGUCAGAUUCAAAGCCAGGCCUCCUGCUUCCACUCUGGCACCUUAUCCUCUAGACCACAUUGACUCUACAGAAUUGUCCAUAUAAAUUGCUUACAAAUUGUUUGUCUUGCCUCCCCUGCAAAUUUAUAAGCAGGCCACACAAUGUAUUCUUCGAGUUAAAAGGAAAUACCUGCAGAGGCUCCAUGUUCCUUGCUCAGCAGAACAUCAUUCAUUUUGAUUUGGUUAGAACUUUGUGUAGAGGUCGUUUUUAAUUUUAAAAAUAAAAUAAAGAGCUACAGGAGAGCUGUUGAUGCAGGAGAAGUUCAACAAUGAGCAUUCAGCCUCUAAGGAAGUUUUAUUUAAAGUGUACAGUCACAAAAUGGUGUGGGCACAGGGUGAGGUGUCACUCCCAACGUCACCAAAUGGUGGGUAAGCCAUUGUUUUCUAAAUGUUUCUCCACACAGAAAACGUGACAGACGGGUAGAGGCAAUUGGAUUCAUCUCAACUUAGUCCAGCAGACAGUUUAGUUCUGAAAGAUACACCUAGCAAUUUUCACAGUGAUUUCUGUCUGAACCAAAAUUGGCAGCCAUUUCAUAGAACUGCUAUCUGGGUGGGUAUAGUAGGACAAUUAUUGCCUGCACCUAACCACAGAUAUGAAAGGAAAGGAAAGUGGACAUCUAAUUUCCCUGAGAAAUUUUUGUCUCAUCUGUCAUUUUCUGAGUCCCUAGAGAAAAGCAAUGCAUGCCAUAUGAGAGCAUGGGAAAUACUUUGUGCUGUUGUUUUAAAGCCAACCUUUUUGUCCUCUGCAUUUAAAAAAGUGGAACCUAUUUAAAAUGGCAUGGAUAUGUUGCAAGUAUUCAAUUACCUUUGCAGGUCAUUCUCUAAAAAUGGAUUUUAUCCCUAGCAUCAUACCUAUACAUGCUCUGAGUCAGCAUGAGUGGUGUGAGUGACAACUUUUCCCCACAUAAUGGACUGGAGCGGUGGAGAAGGACCUCUCUCUCUCUCUCUCUCUCUCUCUCUCUCUCUCUCUCUGUAUUUGUGUGUGUGUGUGUGGACUAUUCUGCUGUUUCCAGCUUAAAAAUACUAAUUGCUAGAGGAGCACAGCAGGGGAGUGCAUAGUUAGGAAUAGUGAAUCUGACAUCACAGAACAGUAUUUCAUAGACUGUGGGCAUCAAGAGAUUCUUCUCACAGGUCAAUCCUAAAAAGCUGAGCAGAGCCAGCUCUGCCAUUAGUCAGAGUGAGGCAGCUGCCUCAUUCAGCAGAAGCCCCCGAGGCAGCAGCAUCAUGGCUGUGCUGUCUGCCCCACCACCGGUGCAUAAGCGGCACUGGUAUUGGCUGAAAUCACACAAGAUCUUAUAGAGCAUGCAAUAUCUCAUGCAAUUUUGCUGAGAUCUCAUCCAAAGUGGACAAGCUCUCACCCGAAACUGAUGCCGAUGGCAAUGCCUCUUCUCUGCCAGUGGCAGAGGCGGCAGAGGUGACGGGGCAGGCAGAGAAGCGGUGCCAGCAGCUGCAGGUAUGGAAGCACUGGCGGCGGCAGCAGCAGAACAAGGCAGCAAUUCCUGUUUUGCCUCAAGCAGCAAAACAGGAGGUGCCGCCCUGGAUCUGAGCAUCUGCGGUGACAUGAACAGUACUUUGCUCAGUAACAGCAACUGCCUAGGACUGGGAAGGGCAGUGCUGUCCUAGCAACUGGGAUAUUCACUAUUAAGAAGAAAAGCUUUCUCUGAAAGCCCUUUUGGAACUGCAAGAACACCCAAACAAGCAUGCAAUGGGUUUGUGGAGGAAAAUGUUGAUUUAAGCAUGUUAGGUGCUGACUAAUCAAUGGCAGGGCAUCUGGAAAAUACAUUGCAACAUAUGGAAGGGCAAUUCUAAUCCAUGUUAAUGAUUUUGGGUGCUAAGCAUGUAUUAAACAAUGACAGUGAAACAGACCUUCCAAGUGUCCCUAUUUUUCAGGGACGUCCCUGUUAGAGAAGCCGUCCCGGUUUCUGAUUUGAUCCUGGAAUGUCCUGCUUUCCCUUAGGACGUCCCUAUUUUCAUUAGAGAAAUACUGGAGGGUAUGGUAGGAUGCUCCUAUUUUCAAUGGAGAAAGCUGGAGGGUAUGGAGUUAUCCGACCUACGAGCCGUCUGAAGGCAAUCUUGUAUAGGGAAGUUUUUAAUUUUUUUGUUGUUUUAUUAUGUAUUUAUAUAUGUUGGAAACUGCCAAGAGUGGCUGGGGCAACCCAGUAAAAUGUGUGGAGUAUAGCUAGUAAAACUAUUAAUAUGGAAUGGGACGUCCCUGCUUUCAUUGGAGAAAUGUUGGAGGGUAUGGUGAAACAGUGAUGGUAGAGCUAGAGUUGGGGGUGUUUAGUUCAGAUUAGUUCAUACAAAAAUAAUACUGAAAAUCUGCUAGGGAAAUGAUGCUCUGCCUAAGAAACUAAUCUCUCUCCUUCUGCCUGCUCCAUUAGUUACAGGACUAAAUUUGAUAUAAAAUGGGAAAAGAGGGAGGACCUGAGUUUGCAUUGGUUGCUGGGGAAUAAGCAUCCCAUUACCUAUCACAGGUUUAUAGAUGACUCUCACCAUUGUAGCUCAUAUGCUUAUUACUACUCUGGCAAUGCCUGCGAAGUUGCAUUAGGAAGAAUGGCAGUGCAUCAGACACAGUCUUUUUAAAACAUUACUGGAACAUCCUAUCCCUCAAAAUAUAGCUGCAAAAAAUAUCCAUUGUGGAAAGACAUGUGUCUGUGUCAAAUGCUUCUUUAGGGAAGCUAUGCCUCUUGCAGAGCAGCAACACACAUGUGCAAACAGAGGAAGCAGAAAACACACACACACAACCCCCCACUGCUAUUCUUACAAGUGUUCUGUGUCUCUCAGAUGCUGAGGCUGCAGAAACAGUAGAUGGUGCUGUGGGAGUGUUCCUGGAGAUACAAGGGAGUGAUUGUUUUUCAGCUGUAACAAAUGCUGGCAGCUAGGAUGUCCUUCCCACUACAAGUGGGCCUGGUAAUGGAUGGACAUUGGGAUCCCAUGCUUUGAGACAGAUGAUAUAUUUCCAGGUUUCUCCUAGUCCUGAGCAGGCAUGCUGAUCUUCUUUCUAUCUUUCCAUUUUUAGUUUGUGCUGCCAAAAUGAGCACAAUCCAAGCCAACAAUAUAAUCUUCUUCACUGGAUUUUGCAUUGAACAUUUUCCCCCCAUAGCAGGCCUUCCACAUUGUCACUAUUGUGUUUGGGUUGGAAGAUGUUCUCAGUUAUGGAGCAAUGUGGUUUUAAAAAAUACAAACAUGCUAAAAAAUAAACAGUUUCUCUUCUCCACAUGCCACAAGUCCACUUUUUAUGUACCCACUAGCAGUGCAACCUAGUCAUGGCUGAAGUGCAAACACAAAGAUUCCAGAAGGGUUAGAGUUGCCAAUUUUUGUCCUCAAAGAAUCUGCCACCUUGAGGUAAUCACCUCUAAACAUGUCCAGAGUUCGUUUUCUCUAUGGAAAGAAUCUGACCUUGCUUCCAUUGCCAGAAGCUACCUGGUCAUCAGUCAUUAGAUCUGGUAUUCGGUAUCUGUAUUUGUUUGUUGUUAUGUUAUGUAUUUUGUGUUUUUAUAAUGUAAACCGUCCUGUGAUCAUUGGAUGAAGGGUGCUACAUACAUACAUACAUAUAUACACCACUUCUGUUUUCCUGCCCAGGGCAAAGUAGCCACACAACUGCAUUACAGGCCAAGAAGCAGCCUGGAAUAAGAUCAAGAGGCUUGGACUCUCUUUUAGGUGGUUGCUUUGGCUGGUAAACCAAUGUUCACACUUGGUUCACACUUGUUGUAGAAUAAUUAUUUUUAUUUUUACCCUGCCCAUCUGGCUAGGUUUCCCCAGCCACUCAUCAGAUGUGACCUGCAAACAGUAUCAGCCACUUUCAUACUUCUCUUUUUAAUGGUUUGAUCUUAUGUGGUAGCAUCAUGCACAUACAUACACCUUCUGAACACAUAAAUGCCCUAUAUACAAGCACUCAGGUACUCCCCACACAGUGCUUUUGUGUUAAUGUGUUUAUUGUGAUAGCUCAGCUAUAUGUAUCAAUAGGAAAAGUGGAGUGGGGGGAAGGUCUUCUGGAUUUUUUUCUCCAGCUCUGCAUCGUUCAGUUAUGAUAAGAAGAUAAAAUGAUGGCCCAGCUCAAGAAAUUCUAGCCUGCUGGGAACCCUAAAAAAAGAAUGUGAGACUUAACCCCUUAUGAUUCAAACCUCAUUUAUUAAAUAUGUGUUAGCCCUUAUUAGUAUGCUCCCUUCAGUUCUAAUGAUUUAAAAAAAAAACCUCAUGUACUUCAGUUUCAGUUUCAUAGAAUAUAAUCAUAGAGGUGGAGGCAGAAGAGUUUUCUAUCUGAUUUGCAAUAAGUUCUCCCUGUUCUCUGGAUGUGCAAUGCAAACAGGCAAAUCAUUUGGUCACCUACUGACCCAUGAAACACGGGUGCACUUCAAAGAGGAGUGCUGUACUCUGCAAUAAAGAUUAGUUUCAGAGCAGCCAGAAAGAAAGAAAGAACGAAAGAAAGAAAGAAAGAAAGAAAGAAAGAAAGAAAGAAAGAGCAAAGUACAAUGAGUGCAGUGCUCAGGGACAAGUUUGAAUGAAUGUUCUCUUAUACUAUAGCUGGACAUCUCUAAGCACUAAAAGUGCAGGUCAUUUGGAAAUGUUCAUUUUAACACCAAGUCCAACUGUGUCUAGGGUCAUUGCAAGUCAAUAGAAGGGGUCAGGUUUUGGGGGCCCAAGAUGAGCAGGGGCCCCAGGCUCUCAGCUGUCAUUUUUUAAAAAGAGAGUAAGCUGACCAGACGUUUCUCAAGAAAGUUAGUACGCAAACCAUGGAAGCAAGCACUUGGCAGGCAGCACUAUUGCUAAGGACACUUAAUCACUUAGUUGUUGUUGCUAAGCAAUCAGCGAAAGGCACGUUGACCACUCCCAGAGCAGCCCCCCUCCCAGAGCAGCAGAAGCUGAAUGAGGGAGGAUAUUGGGGUAUAUUUCUUUAAGCACUUUCCUCAUGAUGUCCACAUUUGCUCCCCAAGUGUGCUGCCUUUACAGAAUAAAACACAACUGGCAGGUUUUAGUAUGAUUUACUUUAAAGUAAAAAUAAGUGAGGUUGAAAUGAGUUAGGUUUCCUCCCUACUGAUUUUUUUUUUAAGUGACAUCAAAAUCAUCAUCUCCCCCCACCCACAAUUUUCCAUGUUCUCUACACAACCACAAGUGGUCUGCUUGUAAUCACUGGGCUGUUAUUUAUUAAUAUACGGUAACCAUAAAACAAAAAUGCAAAAUGAAUCAGCACAUACAAUCAUAAAAUUAUUAAACACCUUACUGAUGCAACAAAUUAAAACUCCUAGAUUCUGUACUUUAACCCAAGGAUGUCUAUAUUUCUGUACUGAGGUUGGCAAAAUUUUUGUGCAUAUAUAUGUUUCGCUGAGAGUUGUGAAAUUGCACAUACACUUGUUCAGUUUUUGUGUUUUGGAUUUUCCUCCCAGGAGUUCAAGUCUAUGUACAUUGUCUCCCCCCUUCACCAUUUGAUCUUCACAACAACCCUUUAGGGUUGGGUAGGAGAGUUGGCAGUUCAGGCAUCAGAGUUGUAAAACCACACAGAGUACUUUUUGCUUGUUGUUAUUUAAUCAGGGUUCGUUUGGGUAUUUUGCUGUAAAUAUCAGGACUAUGAAAUGUAGUCAAAGGCUGCUUUUCUAGCUUCCUUUACAUCAACUGUGAAUAAUAAUAAUAAUAAUAAUAAUAAUAAUAAUAAUAAUAAUUUAUUAUUUAUACCCUGCCCAUCUGGCUGGGUUUCCCCAGCCACUCUGGGCGGCUUCCAACAAAAUAUUAAAUGACAUUACUUAAGAAUAUAGGAAGAGCCCUGCUGGAUAAAGCCAAUGACCUAUCUAGUCUAGCAACCUGUUCUCUCAAUGGCCAAACCGAUGCCCAUGAAAAACCUGCAACCAGGACCCGAGCAGAAGAACACUCUCCCCUUCUGUGGUUUUAAGCAACUAAUAUUCAGAAGCAUACUGUUCUAACUAUGGAGGCAGAAGCAUAAACAUUGUACCCAUUUGCCACUGAAAGCCUUAUCCUCCAUGAAUUUGUCUUUUAAAUCCACCCAUUUUGGUGGCCCUUACCGCCUCCCAUGGGAGCGUAUUCCAUAGUUCAACUAUGCACUGUGUGCUAUAUAUUUGCUUUUCCGCCCAGGAGCAGAAGGUUGUUCACAUUUCCCUCCCCUCCCCACAUUUCUGUUUGCAACAGCCCUGUGAGGUAGGCUAGGCUAAGUUAAAAAUUGUACAUAAGGAGCAGCCCUUGUCCAUAGAUUGUAAGGGGGUGGGAGCAGAGUAUAAGGUCCCUCAUCCAAAUACAGUAUCAGUAUCAAACUUUAUUUUGGUCACAGACCAGCAUAAGAUAAAACAUACGGAUAAACUGAACACAGAAGACUUAAAACAGGUAAGGAAUAAAAAACCUAGUAAUAAAAAGGUGAUUAGAUCAUACAUACUUAAAAAGAUAGAAACAGGGACAAACAGUUCAAAGUGACUAUAAAGGAGGGAGUGUGAAGGAGCACAGGCCUUGCAUUUUGGGCCUAGUUUGUGGCGCAAACCAUCCUUUGGCGAAUAUCCAUCACGGCAGCACAGAAACUAGCAACUCAGUAUGCAACACCUGUGUUUUCAUCUUGAAGUAACAGGGAGGUAUAGAGUUCUUCUGUGCAACCUGGGAAUUUGUGUAGUAUAGGCAAGAUGAACCUAGCUCGUAUAUCUGUAUAGUAUUGGCAGUGAAAAAAUACAUGUUCUGUUGUUUCCAGUUGCCCAGAGCCACAUGGGUAUUUCCUCUCCUCGUACACUCCAAAUACAGUGUACCAGGCUAGGAAAUCCUGUUGGCAUCCCUGACACUGUCUGUGGUAGGCAUAUUCUUUCGUGCUGGCAGAAGCAGCGCUUGUCGGUUUUCAAUUUGUUAGGCUAAAGUAAACAAAAGCUGCCUUUGUGGCGGAAAAUACUAAAGCUGAGUGUGUUGGGUUAAGAGUUUUAGUUAGAUGUCCAAUGAAUCUGUGAUGAAUUCCUUGGACUGAUUUGUGUGAAUUCAGUGCUCUCAUUUCCAGAAAAGUUACCAGCGUGCAUGUUUAUCAGACCCAUCAUUUGGGCUGUAGCUGCAGGGGAUUUUGCUCUUCUCUUGCUAGACUGAUAGGCUAGGAGGACUGGUAGAGUUAGAGCCAUAAAUAUAAGCAUUGGUGCAGGCUACCCCAACCUGGUGCUCGCCAUAUUUUCUGGAUUCCAACUUCCAGCAUCCCUGACCAUUGGCCAUGUUGGCUAGGACUGAUGGCAGUUGUACUACAAAACAUCUGUAGAGCACCAGGCUGAGGAAAGCUGCAUCAGCAUGUUGAUGUAGAAAAGUAUGAGAUGCCAGUGAAAAGAUAUAAUAAUAAUAAUAAUAAUAAUAAUAAUAAUAAUAAUAAUAGAGAGCCAGUGUGGUGUAGUGGUUAAGCGUGGUAGACUCAUAAUCUGGUGAACCGGGUUCGCAUCUCCGCUCCUCCACAUGCAGCUGCUGGGUGACCUUGGGCCAGUCACACUUCUCUGAAGUCUCUCAGCCUCACUCACCUCACAGAGUGUUUGUUGUGGGGAAGGAAGGGAAAGGAGAAUGUUAGCCGCUUUGAGACUCCUUCGGGUAGUGAUAAAGCGGGAUAUCAAAUCCAAACUCCUCUUCUUCUCUUCUUAAUAAUAGUAAAUUUUAUUAUUUAUACCCCGCCCAUCUGGGUGGGUUUCUCCAGCCACUCUGGGCAGCUUCCAGCAAAAUAUAAAAAUGCAAUAAUUCGUCAAAUAUUAAAAGCUUCUCUAAACAGGGCUGCCUUUAGAUGUCUUCUGAAAGUCAGAUAGUUCUUUAAUUCUUUGACAUCUGAUGGGAGAGCGUUCGACAGGGCGAGUGCCACUACUGAGAAGGCCCUCUGCUUGGUUCCCUGUAACUUUGCUUCUCGCAGUGAGGGAACCGCCAGAAGGUCCUUGGCGCUGGACCUCAGCGUCCAGGCAGAAUGAUGGGGGUGGAGAUGCUCCUUCAGGUAUACUGUGCCGAGGCCAUUUAGGGCUUUAAAGGUAAGCAACAACACUUCAAAUUAUGCCCGGAAACGUACUGGGAGCCAGUGUAGGUCUUUCAGGACCAGUGUUAUGUGGUCCCGGCGGCCACUCCCAGUCACUAAUCUAGCUGCCGCAUUCUGGAUUAUGUGUGGACAACAUGAUUAAAGUGAAAAGGAGCAGAAAUCAUUUGAGAGAAAACUUACUGCUUUGUUUAAACUACUUUUAAAUUGUGUUUAAUUGCCAUGGAGACGUCACUGUUGCAAAUCAAUUACUUUGUGCAUAUGGAGUUGUCUAAGGCUAAAGAGCAGGAAAAAAUAUCCAUGUUUCUCAAGUAGGGCCAGUACUUUCUUCCCCAGCUGUCAAAGUCAUAGGAAAAGGCAGCUGAGGAGAUGUUUUGAAUAAGCAAGCCUAUGACCCCAUCCGCACUAUAUUUUUAAAGCACCAUGGUGCCACUUUAAAUAGCCAUGGCUUGCCCCAAAUAAUUCUAGGCAGUGUAGUUUGUUAAGGGUAUUGAGAGUUGUUAGGAGACCCCUAUUACCCUCAAAGAGUUGCAAUUUCCAGAGUGGUUUAACAAUCCAUUUUCAGAGGGAACUCUGGGAAUUGUAGCUUUGAGAGGGAACCAGGGGUCUCUGAACAACUCUCAGCACCCUUUACAAACCACAGUUCCCAAGAUUCUUUGGGGGAAACCAUGACUGUUGAAAGCAGAAUGAGACUGCAUUAGAUGUUAGAGGUGCAAACAGCUAUUUCAAGUGUAUGCAUGUGAGGGCAUGGGGAGUGGUAGUACAGACAUAUGAUUAUGAUUACCAAAGUACAGCAGAAAGUGCCAUAUGACAAUUACUGCCUCUUCCAUUGCUCAAAAUUUUGGAGUGGUAUUCUCAAUCCUAAAAACUUCCAUGGAUGCAAUGAUAUAUUUUGAGGGUUUUGCACUUGUAAAGUGCAAAGAGAUAUGCCCCGUUCCAUCUUACUUAUUUGCUUAUACAAAAUGCCAGAUGCUAUUUUUCAUACAUGGCAGGGCUGUCUAGCUUACAGAGUGGUUCUGCCUCAGAGGGUAUUUUUGGUGUCCCUCCCAGACUCCUAUAAAUUUGACAGUUUAAAAACUGUUCUGCUGAGGUAUCUCCCACCAUAGUGUUGUAGUGUACCCACUGAGGUGCUUGCAGGGUACAGAACCAACAAAAGUUGGACACCUCUGUGUUGACUUACCUUACACAGAAGCCUCUCCUCUCUUUGGUGCAGCACCACUGCAAGAAGAUCCUAGAGCAGGCAUGGCCAAACUUAGCCCUCCAGAUGUUUUGGGACUACAACUCCCAUCCUCCCCAGCUAACAGGACCAGUGGUCAGGGAUGAUGGGAACUGUAGUCCCAAAACAUCUGGCGGGCCAAGUUUGGCCAUGCCUGUCCUAGAGCAUAUCUUUGGCUGGCUGCCUUCCUAUAUCUCCCCUGCUCACCCACCUGGCUGCUUGUAUGGGGCAUGUGCUGUCUGUAUGUGUGCCUGCAUUCGCCAUGUCCAUCUCUGGCAUGCAGCCUUCGGAGGGGUGGCAAACUCUCUAUGCAACCCUUGGGCCACAAAUAGUGAGCCACCCCACAUAUAUGGCAUUUUUUUUACAAAGCACACUUGAACAUCCCUUCCACUGUUUAUACUUGCGAAUGGCAUUGUUGUGUGAAUCAGACUGAUUAAUCUGUGGAGUAAAAACAUUAAAACUACGGUACUUAAUUCUUUUUAUAGUUUCAUGGCUAAUGUCACAUUUUGUGGCAACAAACUCCAUGCUUGCUGCUUUGUCAGUGACUCAUGGAAGGCUGAGCAGCUUUAGUUUUCCACUUUGCAUGAGCCCUGAUUUUCAGAAGUGGCUGGCAUCCUUUUCUCAACCCUGGGUAUAUAUGUGUGUGCUUUCACUCUUAAAUGUUGGGUCCAGAUAUAUAUAUUUGAAGCAUCUGCUUUGUUUCCUAUUCCCUAGCGAUACUGUGAAAGCUAGUCAUUUUACAAAGUGCCAUGGAGAUGCAUGUAGCUGUCUACAUGAGCUGUACGUCAUCAAAUACGGAGAUGAGUUUUGUUCUUUAUAUGAGUCAUCAUUCCCUUUCUGACCUACUCUUCUAAUUGCUAGUCAUUUAUUCUUUGGGAAUUCAUUAUCCCCGCCAGUAGCUUUUAACAAACAGGCAGCAGCCUGGAGUGGCAGGUAUUUGCCUCUGAGGUACCUGAUGUGUGUGACAAAUUAAAAGUCGUUUAGAAACCUGACAGUACUUUGCCAUGGUUCCACCACCAAAAAUGAUCCUCCAUUCAAGCCUCCUGCAUUUCACAUGUUGUCUUUAUUCCAAGGUCAGCCCAGGGCAAGGCCAUUUAACCGACUGAGAAAAUUCUGAUGCUGAGCAAUGUUCUAGUUAAAUAAGAGGCCUUGGGAAGGGAUUCUCUUGAAGUCCCUUGUCUCUGUCCGUCUGCAUUUCAGUCUCACUAACUGUGGUAUCAGGGCAGUGAUUGGACUGUGUGUGCUGAACAUUGCCAAAGGUCUACACAUCUUCCUUCAUAGGUCUAUUGCUCCCACAUUCCCAUGAAGGAGAAGAUUCCCAAUAUAUGUUUCUUUCAGAGGAAGGAAUACCGGAACUCUUAAUGUUUUCAAUAAACCUUUCUACUAACAAAAGUUACACAGCCGUGGGAAUCAGGCAGAGACUGUUACUGCCCUAGGCAAAAUCAGAGGUUAUCCCCUUGCUUGGAUUCAUACAACCUCAGUUUCCCAUUGCAGUUUUGCUCAUGUCUGCCUCAGCUGCUUCUGUGGGUUCUGUAAGGGCUGCAGUCCUAACCCCACUUAUGUGGGAGUAAGCUCCAUUGAAUUCAGUUGGACUUACUUCUGAGUAGACAUGGCUAGGAUUGCAUUGUUAAGGGCACUUCGAGAUGAAGGCAAUUUAGCAGCACUUUAUCAUUGCUAAUCUGCUUUAAGAUGGAAAUGGAAUAGCAACUUUGCUUCCAAGCUUCUAAUAUGCUGUGGUCAAGUGGCAGGCUCCCUUUCCCUUGCUUGAAAUAUCAGAGGUGACAGUGGAGUAGGGUGAGUUAUUUUCAUUUUAGCCAUUAUAUGUGAGAAAAGAUUAAAUGCUCCCCACCCCAUGAGAAAUGGCCAGCUGAACAACCCAGGAAAUGGCUAGAGCAAUUUAACAAGCUGCAAUAGCAGUACGAGAGGACAUCUAUACCUGAAAAAAUUGCACUGCUAUUCCACUGAGUUUUGUUUUGUCAGAUUUUCUGAACUUGGGGGGGGGGGGGGGGAUCCAGAAGCUGAACUGGGAAAACAUGAGAGUUGGAUGUUUUGUCCCCAAUGUUGUUCUUAUUUCCCCUAAAAGUAAGUGAAUGAAGCCUGGCUAUUCCACAGUAAAUGCCCAGUGUGGAACCAGGCUAAGAAACAGUCGUUUAUUUCACAUAUCUGUGGUUUGAUAAAAGGUGCAGAGGUGUUUGGAAGGUGCUUGUUUCCAAAAUCCUGAAGCUUAUACUGUACUGAGGUUUAUACUGUAAACUGUGAUCCUCAGAUGAAGUGUGGUAUAUAAAUUUAAUAAAUACUAAUACGUAAUAAUAUUCCUCCUUUUUAAAAAGAGUUUGCUGUGUACACCUUUAAAGCACACUCAAAACACUUUCCCUCAGAGAAUUCUGGGUACUAUAGUUUGUUAAAAAGUUGCUGGGAAGUGUAACUGUGAGGGGUAAAUCUCAGGGCCCGGAAUUCUUUGAGGGAAAGAAGAUGCUUUGGAUGUGCUCUAAAGAUACAGUGUGCAUACAUAGCCUUUUUUUUUUUUGGCUGCGCUAUGUGUCCUUCACCAAGUUCCCAGCUGUGUCCUCAUAACUCUGUCAACACAAGGACAUGGUGAUGUAGAGUGAUCCAUGCAAGAGGUUCCAUGUGUUCCAUGGCUAAGGUUUUAUAUGCUCCUGUUGCUGUGCCAUGAUUAACUCUUGGGUGAGAAACCUUGAUCAUGAAGGAAUCCUAACUUCUGAUGAUAUGGGGUAGGAAAAGUUUGCUGUUGUUUUGGGCUUUUUACUGACUCCACCAGGAGUUUUUGAAUUUACAAUCCCUACUUUGCUGACACAGCAUUAGAACAGGGCAGGGGUUACCUUUGAACAGGCAUAGGAUUUCAUCUGAACACGAUUCCAUUUUUGCCACACCUCCGGCUCCACCCAUUGGAGAGGACUGUUUGAUGUAGUGUUCAGUUACAUGACUGAGAAAAUCUGGGUUCAAAUCCCACCUCAGCCAUGAAACAAACUGUGACUCUCUCGGCCUGCCCCACCUUGCAGCAGUCUUGUGAGAAUAAAAGUUGGAGACACACCGCCCUGAGGAAGGGUGAGGUUAAACUAUACCGUAAUAAAUAACACACCCACCCCUCUGCUCUGGUAUUGUGUCACUGCACUCUUCCACUCAUGUAACAUAGGUAAAGGGUAAAGGGACCCCUGACCAUUAGGUCCGGUCGUGGCCGACUCUGGGGUUGCUGCGCUCAUCUCGCUUUAUUGGCCAAGGGAGCUGGCGUACAGCUUCCAGGUUAUGUGGCCAGCAUGACUAAGCUGCUUCUGGUGAACCAGAGCAGCGCACGGAAACGCCGUUUACCUUCCUGCCAGAGCGGUACCUAUUUAUCUACUAGCACUUUGACGUGCUUUCGAACUGCUAGGUUGGCAGGAGCAGGGACUGAGCAACGGGAGCUCACCCCGUCGCGGGGUUUCGAACCGCCGACCUUCUGAUCACCAAGUCCUAGGCUCUGUGGUUUAACUCACAGCGCCACCGGUGUCCUCCUCAUGUAACAUAUUGUCAUGCAAAUGUAGUUUCAAUAUGCAAGCAUCUUUUGUGUUCCACUUUCAAAAGGGAAUGUAGCAGUGAUCCUGUCUCACCCAAGUGAGUAAAGUAUGGAAAGACUGUAGCCCUGUACACAUUUAAACAGCCAUAGUGUCAGGCUGAUAAAUGCCUUGGUGUGAUGCAUUUCCAACAACAAAUGUACUUGGCAAGAUUAAUGCCAAGUACAGCAUGGCUGUUUUCUGCUGUGGUCGUGCUCCAAGAUACACAUCAACCAAGAUCUGACCUCUCUGUUGACUGCCUGUGCAUUGGGUUGUGGGCUUCCUGGUUAAUGAUUGCAGGUGCCCCUUCCCUCCAUUAUGCUAAGGUCAUGGUUAUUCUUCCACUCCCAUUCCUUAUGCUGCAUUCAAAGCACAAGGUGCCUCCAGGGAGAGGUAAAAGGUCAGAGGGCUGGCAUGCCUAAUUGCUACAGCCAGCAGAAUCUGAGAUCUGUGUCCUUGCUGUUUAUCUUUAAUUUCAUCAAGGUUGGCUGAACCAACCUCUAGGCACAUACCCAUGAUUCUUAACAUUGUUCAAAUUAAAGCCUAGGCCAAAAAGAAAAAUAAGUCAGAGGCCCCCUUAGUACUCUCCAAGCACAAAAGGAAAGGCAAAGGUUUUCUCAGCCAAGUGAGCUCUGCUUGUGUGAUGAACAAACAGACCUUGUUCUUUCAUUACACUUGAGAGUAGCCAGUUUGGCUCAUUUCAUUCAAAGAAUCAUACAAAAGCUUGAUUAGGUAUUUCAAGGGUUCAUGUUUCCUCAGACUGCAAUGUUCUUCUGAAGGGAACACACAAGGUCUCUGACAUUAAGCAUUCCCACUGCUGUGUUUGUUUACAACAUCACAGCCCAUGUUCAGUAACUAGUAAAGCCACCUAUUGCACGGGAUCCAAGUGUCUAAGACGGACCUCCUCCUCUAACAACAUCCUCAUUGUCAUUACCUCCUCUUGACUAUAAGAUCCCAGGGUGGAUUACAGCAAUUAACCUGUCCAACAACAACAACUACAACUACAGUCAGAGACUACUAGGUAGCUGGGAAAGGGAAAUUUUGGUCCAGUCCGACCAUGAAGCAGAGUGAAGCAUCUGCCAUAAGCUCUGGGGCCCCUAAACUAGGAUGUUCCUAGAUGCAGUGGAAGUUGAUAUCCUGUCACCAGAGUUGAAGUAAGCUGCCAGUUCAGUUGGAUUCUGUAUGUGGAAUGUAAGAGCCCUAUCUUGGCCUUUUCCUCAGGCAGCAAAACGACGACCCUGUUGUUUUCACAUCCCUUUGUCAUGCUCUCCACAGGGAAACCUACUCAGCACCAAACUUUUAGCUGCCAGGUAAAAACCUGCUUAUUUUAUUUUAUUUUUAAUAAUUUUUUGUUGGUUUUUACACAUAUUUUCCAAUAUAACAUCCUUUUAAACAUCAUUUAGAAAUUUUUGGCUAUCACAGCCUAAGACUUCCUUCAACCUCGACUGAUGGUUUUCUAAAGUCUUUCUAAUUAUGCAUUUUGUUACUAUAAUUAUUGCUAUAAACUCAAAUUUCCAGUACAUCUAUUCUUAAUUCUUUUCACAAUAAUUUAUAAAUUACUCCUUACAAAACUUCUUUUAACCCUACAAGCGAUGUCAAUUGGUAAAAACCUGUUUAUUUACCUUAGCUUUUUUGUAUAUGUUCUGCUGAAGAGAGCACAAUUUACCUUAGCUUUUUAAAAUGGCUGGCAUAACAUAGCCUUUCCUCUGCUGCAGCCAUACUUAGGUGCCCCAUGCCUGCAAUUUGCAGUUGGAGGGCAAUUCAAAUGAGGAUGGUGACAAAAGCAAAAGCUAAAGUCCCUUUCCGCACAUCAUGGUCCUUAUGCAGUUUAUGCCCUCCCUCAUGUACUUUCAUCUUCUUUUUCUUUUUUGCAUGCCAUUUGUUUUUAUACCAGCCACAUUAGGGUCAAAGGCAUUCACAUGUCACAUUUAAUUGGGCCUUGGCUCUUCAUAUUUUCUCACUGUGUUUUUUUAAGCAUCUGGUGUUACGUUAUUGUCUUUGGUCUCUUGUUUUUAAUUCCAAAAUUGGAAGUGGAAUAUAUAUAUAAAUAAAUGUGCAGAUUCAGGAUGUCUUAGGGAAAGCAUAUAGGAUUUUAAAGACAGGUUGAUGCUGGCAAAUUUGGCAUAUCCUUUCCUUUCUCUAAGCAAAAGGUAACAGCAGAACCUCCAUGAUUCUCGAAAUUCCCUUUCAGCCACUUUUGCUGUGUCCCUUUACAUUGCUCCAUGUCAAUACCAUUCAUGUAAGCAGUAUUUGCUUUGCUUCAAGAUCUGAUGGUUUGGAUGUUACCCAAGUCAUUUGGAUAAAUGAGGUUGAAUUGUAUAAGAAUCAUGGCUGUUUCCAAGCUAAAUGUGAGUUUCACAUGGCAAAGCAUUCUCUCUCUCUCUCUCUCUCUCUCUCUCUCUCUCUCUCAUGUUUUUGAGCAUUGAAAACCCUCAUCAAACCUGCCAUUAUAAAUGAGAAGCUUCACAAAUGCAAAAUUAGAAGGUUACAAAAAUAUAUCCUGGAACGAGGAAGGAGAGAGUUUGGGUGAGUCUGCCUACACAACAUACAUUUAAAGCUUAGUUCUUCCCCCAAAGAUUCCUGAGAACUGUAGUUUACUCCUCACAAUUUGCAGUACCCUUAACAAACUAUAUGUCGCAGGAGUCCUUUGAGGAAGCCAUGGGCUUUAAAUAUAUGGUGUAUACUACUGUCCCAACUGAGUGUGCAUAGGACUGCAGCCCUGGGUUUUGGGGUUUUUUGUUGCAAGGUUAGAAGGCCAAAGAAAGAUGAUAAGCUUGGAAUUGGUAUAAGGAAAGACUGCAGGGGAUAGAACUCUACCAGCAAAGAUAAGAGAUGAAACCACAGAUAGGGGAUUAAGCAGCAAAUUGAUCAAGAUUCUGCAGAGGAAAAGAGAUGUCUUAGAUGGAUUUAGCUGGAUAGUAGGUGGAUUUUUAGCAUCCAAUUCUGAGUUGUAGGAAAUGGGACAGUGGCAAAAGAAAGUACAUGAUGUGUUUGUUUAGAGCACAGACAGAUAAAUAGAGAGCUUUCAUCUAACAUGAGGAGGGGGAGACUUUGAAGACAGCUUAAAAUGCUUCACUAUUUAUCCUAAUCACAGGGUGAGUCAGUGAUAAAUUAUGUUUAUCCAGUCCUGUAUUCAGCUUUCUGUAAUAUGGUGAAAGAGCAGCUGAUAAUAUAGUCAUACAGUGGGAGCAGAUUCUUACCCCUCUCUCCAAAAAGGGGCGGGUGGGGAGAAUUGAGUCAGCCAAAAUCAUGUAAUUAUUAUCUGAGGUAAGAAAGAGACAUCAUUUAUUCCCAACCAGUUCUUAAUGCAAAGUUAUACACUGUGUAGAACUGCCCAGUUUUCUCUUAAGAAGCCCGUGCCAACCACUGCUGGGCAAGUGAGGGAACAAAUACAAAGGGAAUAAGGAACUGAAAAAAAUGAAGGUUUAGCUUGACUUGAAAAGUUUGCCAUGACAAAAAAUGAAGAGAGCUCCUUAUCCUUAGGCAGAUGAGCUUGAAGAUUUCAUACAGGUUGAACCUGAAUCUGAAUUUAUACUUAACUAAAGAAAAUGCUUAUCCAGAUGCUAAAGUCCUGAAAGAUAAUAAAAAAUAAAAAAAAUUCCUUCCAGUAGCACCUUAGAGACCAACUAAGUUUGUUAUCGAUAUGAGCUUUCAUGUGCAUGCACAGUGUAUCUGGAAGGAUUUUUUUAUUUUUUAUUUUGUUUUGACUACGGCAGACCAACACGGCUAGCUACCUGUAUCCUGAAAGAUACAUAGCUAUUCCUAACCGCCCUAUGUGUCCAUGUUGCAGAGGAAAAGCAGUAGCCAUUAAGUGAUGGUGUCCAGAAAGAAAUAAGAGUAGGAUGGUGUUUGAAAGUGGGGGAAGGAAAUUGUUUAGUGCACUGUGAAUGGUUAAGGCUAAGGCAGCGAAUGGACGGCCAGCUUCUGAAUUAUAAUAAAGUUGGAGCCAUCUACCAGUAACAGCUUCAUUGUUGUGGAACACAUGCACUGAGGCAUAGCCAGGACGUCCCACACAAAAUCCAAAGGAAGAGGUAACAUUGGCAUGUGGGUUCCCACUCACCCUGUCUCUUCUCCAUUUCUGUUGUCUGUUAGUAUUUCACAAGACUAAUCUAAGAUGGCAACCAGAGGAGGGACUUUCCACUGGUGAUGCCCUGUUCAUGCAAUGCCGUGUAAAAUUGAUAUCCUUCAUGGAAGCCUCCACUUGGAUCAAAGAGCUUCUAGGACUGAUUACAAUUGGGGGGGGGGGAGCAAUGGCUAAAAUGUUUUGAUUUGAAAGACAGUUAAAUUGAUCAUUUAAUCUACUCCUUGAUGGUACCUGAUGAUUGCUUAUUUUUAUUUGUUUAUUACAAAUAUUGUGCAUGUGUGUUUAAAUUCUGUUUUCCCUCUGCGGGGUUAUUGGGUUGUUUUUGUUUUUAUUUUGUGAUUUUAUAUUGUGAUUUUAUCCUGUGAACAGCCCUGAGACUUACGGGUUAUAGGGAGGUAUAUAAAUUCAAUAAUAAAUAAAAUAAAUAAAUAAGCUACUACUGAUGUCAGGGAGUCCACCUUGAGUAUGACUGACCCAUAACAAAUACAUACAUUUUCUCCUCCCCCCCCCACCUUGUAUAUCCCCAUCUUGCCCAGCUGAGUCACUCCUUUUGUUUUAACGAUUUAGGAUUUUAUACUCCAGAAUCAUUGUCUUCUUGCUCUUCCUUAUAAAUGCCAUGAAGCCCCCUAAGUGGCUUGGGGCAAGUUGCUGCCUAUCAGCCUACCCUGCCUCACAGGGUUGUUGUGAGGAUAAAAGAGUUAAAGUGUGCAUGCCACCUUCAGCUCUUUGGACAAAAGGUGGGAUAUAAGUGCAAUACUAAAUUAACUAACUGUAAUCCUAUCUUGCGGGGUCGAAACAUCAUCUGAAGUCAAACACAAUAAGAUCGAUAUUUAUUAUAUUCCUGCAAAAUCUUCUCCUAGUAACCUAGCUGUACUUGCUAUUAACCAUACUUCUUUUACAACUCAUUCUACUGUUUGCAGUUGAAAAUGUAUUAAUUCGAUUCUGGGCAAUCUUUUCUUUCGCACAUUAAUUCUGUUGCAAAGACCUGCUGUUAUUUCUUGUUUAACAUUGCAAAAAUGAAACUAUAUCUGCCUUUUGCUAUAACUACAACUCUAGUUCAAGUGAUUGUUUCUCAUCUUGAUUGGGUUAAUAUUAGGCCUGCUGGUUCCCAACUUUUCAUCUUCCCCUUAUUUCAGCUUUGCUGCUUGUCUGGGCUGCUGUUCUGCUCAUGUGUUAUCUCUUUUUUCUUUUCUUAUUUUGCUUUACUGGCCCCUUUUUUUCCUUUUUCCAUACUUGCUAUAAACUCAUUUUUACCAUUAAGGCCCGUCAUGCUCUUGCGCCUUCCUUGAUUUCUCCUUGUUGUUCCAUCUUGUUCUUCAUGCUUUGUUUAAUCCUAUCUUCAGGCUAAGCCUCCAGCUUUCUAUUGUCACUAUCUUGUUGUCACUGAUCCUGUGGGCCUAAAAUGGUCUUUUAAUAGAUAUAUUGUACAGGUGCAGUAUAAAUAAAAUGUGGCGACAAUCAUGAAAACAAGUUUUCAUUUCUUUAAAAGUGAAACUGUGGCCAGAUAACAUUUGCCUCACCUUUAUUAAAAUUGUGUGGCUAUAUCUGUUGCUAGAUUAAACUGCUUUGAGGAGCAGAUCCAGGUUACACAUACGAAGUUUUCUUACUCCAGGUCAGCUUAUUUAUCCAUCUAGCCCAGUGUUGUCUGUUCUGACUGACAGCAGCAUUCUGGGGUCUAAGGUAGAGGCAUUUCCCCUCAUUUGAUGUUUGAUUCUUUUAAGUAGAAAUGCCAGGGAUGAAACAAGAUUUUAUGCAUGCAAAGCGUAUAUUCUAUCACUGAGUUAUAGUCCCUCGCGAAUCAAUAGACAGGUUGAUUAUCCAAUGCAGUAAGAUAAGAUAAACUUUAAGUAUUGGUAGGAAUUGAGGCGGUAUUGCAGGCUGUGGAAGACACUUAUUCAUUCUGCUGUGUUUAUUCAACCAUGUGAAGAGUGAAUCAGUAACAAACUGUACAAUCUCGGAAAUUCCUUUUGAAAAAGAGACACUUCUGAGCCAUUUCAGCAACUGCUUUCUAUUUUCACUAGGAACUAAGGAGACAUUGAUCUCCAUUUUGUGACCAUUUAUCUGCAUUUUAUGAUCACACAAUGCAGUUUGUGAACACAUAAAAUUCAAGUUCCUAAAAUUUCCAGGCAGGUUUUGUUUCACCUUCAUGACAGUUCUGAAAUAGGUUAGAUCCAUUGAAGUCUAACAAUGGUGGUUUUUUUAAAGGGUUUUGUCAUCUUAAUUGCUUGUUUGUUAUAUCUACUUCCGUUCUCAUGCCUAAGGGAUUUUAUACUUCAUUACAACCCUUUUUAAAGCAGAUAUAUUUUGUGGUAAAGGUAAAGGACCCCCGACAGUUAAGUACAGUCGUAGACGACUCUGGGGUUGCGGCGCUCAUCUCGCUUUACAGGUCGAGAGAGCCAGUGUUUGUCCGCAAACAGUUUUUCCAGGUCAUGUGGCCAGCAUGACUAAGCCGCUUCUGGUGCAAUGGAACACCGAAACCAGAGCAGCACACGGAAACGCCAUUUACCUUCCCGUUGGAGCGGUACUUAUUUAUCUACUUGCACUUUUGGUGUGCUUUCGAUCUGCUAGGUUGGCAGGAGCUGGGACCGAGCAACAGGAGCUCACCCCAUCACAGGGAUUUGAACCUCCGACCUUCUGAUCAGCAAGCCCAAGAGGCUCACGGGUUUAGACCACAGCGCCACCCUCAGCCUAUGUAUUUUGUGGUAGUUUCCAUUGAACUGGGAGAAGCCACCAUUGAGUUGAAUCCAUACUGAGUCGUGCUUAACCUUAACAGCUUAAAAAUAUAUUAAAACAUCAGCCAUCAAAAACUUCCCUAACAGGGCUGCCUUCAGAUGUCUUCUAAAUGUUAUAUAGUUGUUUAUUUCUUUGACAUCUGAUGGAGGGCAUUCCACAGGGCGGGCGCCACUACCGAGAAGGCCCUCUGCUUGGUUCCCUGUAACUUUGCUUCUCACAGUGAGGGAACUGCCAGAAGGCCUCGGAGCUGGACCUCAGUGUCCGGGCUGAACAAUGGGGGUGGAGAUGCUCCUUCAGGCAUACUGGACUGAGGCCGUUUAGGGCUUUAAAGGUCAGCACCAACACUUUCAAUUGUGCCCAGAAACAUACUGGGAGCCCGUGUAGGUCUUUCAAGACCAGUGUUAUGUGGUCUGUCGCCGCUCCCAGUCACCAGUCUAGCUGCCGCAUUCUGGAUUAGUUGGACUUUCUGGGUCGCCUUCAAAGGUAGCUUCACAUAGAGCAUGUUUCAGUAGUCCAAGCAGGAGAUAACUAGAGCAUGCACCACUCUGGUGAGACAGUCCGUGGGCAGAUAGGGUCUCAGCCUGCGUACCAGAUGGAGCUGGUAGACAGCUGCCCUGGACACAGAAUUGACCUGUGCCUCCAUGGACAGCUGUGAGUCCAAACUGACUCCCAGGCUGCACAUCUGCUCCUUCAGGGGCACAGUUACCCCAUUUGGGACCAGGGAGUACCCCACACCUGCCCACCCCGUCUCCCCAAAGCAGUACUUCUGUCUUGUCAGGAUUUAACCUCAACCCGGUAGCCGCCAUCCAUCCUCCAACUGCCUCCAGGCACUCGCACAGGACCUUCACGGCCUUCACUGGUUCCAAUUUGAAAGAGAGGUAGAGCUGGGUAUCAUCUGCAUACUGAUGAACACCCAGCCCAAGCCUCCUGAUUAGAUCUCUUGUUAUGAAAUUCAAGUAAUUGCAGGUAGAUCCAAGUGGGAUAUACCCUUGGAAUGCUGGCAUUGACCAAAUGCAUCCUUGGAAAAAUCAGUGGGCUAACAUCUUCACCUAUGUAUUAUUACAGAAGGGUGAGGGAAAUGCUGUAUAGUCUGAGCACAGGAAGAGGAAUCAGAUCCUCUCUCCUCUUAUCGUUGUUGCUUUCUAUAAGUCCUUCGUCUCCUGUAUGACUUAGUAGAAUAAAUCAUUAGGGAUGUUGACACUUUGCAAGGGUUACUGGGGCUGUAGAGAUGACAUGUGUGCUGAUCUUCCCCUACCAUGCAAUUAUUAAAAGCAGGGUGGCUCCGUUGGGACCAUGAGCUGACAACCAUGUAUAUGAAUGAAGCAUGAGGUUGGUUCAAGUUUUGCUAAUAUCUAGGGAAGAAAUAAUUCAACACCUGAAGCCUGUGACGAGCAUCACCAUGACUGAUCUCUCAACCUUUCCAGAAUGAACACAGGAAGAGCUCUGCUGGAUCACACCAAAGAUCUAGCUAAGCCAGAAUCCUAUUGACUGCAUUGGACAACCAGAUGAGUCCAGUAAACCAACAAGCAAGACAUGUAAGUAACAACCCUUCUCUUCCUAUUUUCCCUCUUCUCCUGUAAUAAUUGGUAUUUGGAGGCAUAAGUUUGCCCUUGAACCUGCAGGUUCCAUUUAGCUUUUCAGCUACUAGCUGUUAACCGGCCUGUUCUCCAUUCAUUUCACUAGUCUCUGUUUGAAGCCAUUUAAGCCAGUGACCCUCACAAUAUCUAGCGGCAGAUGAUUUUGUCAGCUAAUUAUGUGUUGUGCAAAUAUGAAUUUCCAUUUGCCAUCCUAAGUCUAUUGCCAGUCAGGUUCACCAAGUGACCCCAAAUUCUUCUGUUAUGAGAGAGGAAGAAAAAUGAUCUCUUUUCACUUUCUACACACUGCACACUUUUUUUUACAAACCUCUUAUCAGUUAUUAUUGUUGUUUUAUUGAUUUAUCCCCUGCCUUUUUCCAUGACGGACUCAAGGCGGCUUAUAGAUAAAUAGAAACAGCCAAAAAUAUUUGGGAGGGGGAACAAUCAUUUAAAAACAAUUGAAUAGAAUUAAAACUAUAUAUAACUAUAAAAUAUCUAUUAAAAACACACAGGUAGUUACAAUCAAAACAGCACGGCACCAGCCCUUUCUUUAAAAGUGGUCAGUUCCCCAAAGCCUGUUGAAAUAAGAAGGACCUGCCAGCAGAAGGACAAGGAGGGAGCCAGUCUAACUUCUCUAGGGAAGGAGUUCCAAAAUUUGGGAGCCACCACUGAGAAGGCCCUCUCCUGCUUUGACAGUUGGUAUCCUUUUAGGUUAGAAUAGGGCUGCUUUCUUAAAUCAGGUGGUUUCAACUGGCAGCACACUGGUAAUUCAACUCACACCACCAGAUGCAUUCAUGUAGCACUGGUGGAAAAGAAACAGCACCAGCGACAGCUAGCAGUGCUUAUUUGUUACUAUUUUUUCCACCAACUGAAUGAGCUACUGUAACUGCAGAAUACUUAAUGCUAUGCUGCUUUGUGGCACUUCCAAAAAACAACAACCAUACAAAUAAUCCUGGUGCACUCUGCCCUUGUAGGUAAGCCUAACAACUCCAUAAAAGCCAUAUAUUUUCCAAAAUUAGUAAUCACUUAUUGGAGAGGAUGAUUAUAAAGGUCUUUAUUGAUGGAUGAAGAAGUGGCACAGCUACUUUUAGAUAAAUUGUCCCUUCAUUCUGUUGCCAAAAACGUCACUAAUAUUUUAUUAUAAAAUACCUGGUUUGUGUGGACUCCUGAGAUAACAUAGUAUAUUAAGAACUUGACAAAUGAAAAGUCUUUCCCAUAUGCCACAGUUUGUCAUUAGUGGCAUUAGUAAUUAUUAUCAUGGAUGGUAACAUAAGCACACACUUCAUGUAGUCCAACAGUCAUAGAGGCAUGCUGAAAGCUUGAAAAAGUACUGGUAUUAAUUAAACUUGGAUGACUACGUUAUGUACUGCCAUUUUCCCUCCACAUGAUUGACACCUGUGUUCACCAGAAAGACUGUCCAAGGACCACAGCUGAUAUAUUAUUACUGAAAAGAAUAGCUAUCAUGAUUAAUCACAUAGAUGAAUAACAAUGAUGAAAUAUCACCAGAUAAAAUGUGGUUAUCAUAGCAUGUGUGAAAUUAAAGUAGUUGACUUGAAGUUAACAAUUUAUGUACUUCCUUUGGGUGUUCAGUGUUACAUUAUUAUUAUUUUUAAAGUACUCUCCCUUUUCUGUAAUACAACAUUGGCUUUUCUUCCAUAAAGAGGUCAAAAUGUAUUGCUCAGCCCACUUUAUACAAUGGGAGCAAUUGUCAAGGUGUUCACAGUACACUAUUGCUCCUGACUGUGAGGUGUUUUGAAAGACCAAAAGAUAUCUGGGAAACCAGGUAGGAAAGGGUAGCUAAUAAACUUCAAGAAAAGAGCUGUGGCUCAGUGUUUAAGACAAAAAAAAAUGUUUUGCAUGCAGAAGGUCACAGGUUCAAGCCCCAGUGAGGAAAUAGACAUGGCUGAGUCCUUGAGAGCUCCAAUAUUUAUAGUACUACAAUCCUCUGGUUUGAUAUAAGGUGGCUGCAUAUUUCCAUAGUAUGGGAGUUCAGAGAUAUGAAAAUCCAAGUGACAGAUCAUAGGCUGCCUCUAGUAAGUUCAGUUAUAUCAUACUUAUUGCCCACUAGACAAGAAAUAGUUGGAAUUAACAUUUUAAAAGGGCUACAUGGGUAGCUCAUUGGCUGACCCUGCACCAGUCAUUCUCUUUUGGUUCGCUUAACCUGCAUCAAAGUGUUGAUGUAACAAAAUGGUGGAAGAGGAAAGAACCUUAUAUGCCGCCUUCAGCACCUUGGAGGUAGGGUGGUAUAAAAAUUGGGAAAUUUCCAGAAUCGUUAUAUUCAUAUGCAAAUUUAAACAAAUGUAAUUGAUUAAGGCUCAAAUCUUAACUCUGCUUAAUAGAGAAUAAGUGUCAUUGAAGACAGUGGGACAUAUCUGAGUAGACUUGCCCUGCACAAUUUCUUUGAUUAAGCAACUAAGAUAAUUGAUGACAGCCCUGAUUAUUUUCUUCUUUCUUUUCUGUCAAACUUUAGUUCCUAAGAUCUUGGGAAGAGGGACCUUUUUUGCUUUAACGUAUGGUAUAAAACAAGGAUAGGGAACCUGUGGCCCUCCAGAUGUUGUUGGACUUCAACUCCCAUCAUCCCAUUGGCUGUGCUGGCUGGGGCACAUGGGAGUUGGGAGUCUAACUACAGGUUUCCAUCCCUGCUAUGUAGCAGGCACCUGGAUGCCUGGUGACCCACCAGCCCUACUAAUUCUGCUAUGUGCAGUUCAGCUUGAAGUUUUGUAUUUAGGAAGUCCUGAUGCUGCUCAGGGACACAACACAUGCCUUGCAUGCAAAAGGUCCCAUAUUCAGUGCCCAGCAUCUCUAGGUAGGGCUAGGAAAGAGCUGAAACCUUGAACAGUCACUAUCAGUCUGUGUGCAAACAAUGUUUAUUUCAGAAAUGUAUUUCCCAUUUUCUCCUCCUAGAGGAGCCACUCAGAGCAACUUACGAAAUAUAAAAACAAGCACAAAAAUAAAAACAAGAAUUCAACAUUAGAACAAAUUACCAACAACAAACAAGACUAAAAGCAUCAUCAGAGAACACAGGGGCUAGAGCUAAAAGCAAGCAAGCAGGCAAGCAAGAUACAGCAGAGUCAAAGGCUUCAAAGGCUGGCAGAGCACAAGAGAAAAAUAAGCUAAUUUCUUAAGGCAGGGAAUUCAAUGUGCAGGGUGCUGCUAUAGAGAAAGCCCUUUCAUGCAUUGCCACCCCACCAACUGUAACUCAGAAAGCAAAUGGAUGACACAACAGGGCUAUGUUCUCUGAAUACUGGUUGCUGGGAAAUCACAAGCAGGGAGAGCAAGGUUGUGCUAAGGUCCUGCUUGUGGGCUUCCCACAGGCAUCUGGUAGCCAUUGUGAGAACAGAAUGCUGGACUGUAUGAGCUUGAUCCAGCAGGCCUUUUAUAAGUGACACAUUCACCUUGGAGCAGACAGUCUUUCAAGUAGCUUGGGCUGAAGCUAUUUAGGAAUUCAAAGGUAAUUACUGAGCCAGGUGGACCAGUGGUCUGACCCAGUAUAAGGCAGCUUCCUAUGUAACACCAGCGUUGGCUUUUUUAAUUUACAAAAGGAAACUUUUAAAAGUUGUACAAUAUAUUAUAUGGUUAUCCAAAGGAACUCACAGCUAUACAUCUCCUUCCUGUCCCCAUUUUAUCACCACAACAAUCUUGUGAGGUUAGGCUGAGAUAAAAGGAGGUUCCAACAACCCCACCCCCUGUAUUCAAGGAUUGUGUGAGGUGGGGUUGUGGGGCAACGCAGGCUAGUCUCAUCACUACCACACCCAGCAGCCGUGCCCCUUCCCUGCCACCCACACAUUUGGCAUGCAUGCACAUAGAGAUCCUUCAUGCAAACAUUGUGUGUGCACACAUAUAACCUGGCAUGUGCCCCACAACCCACUUACACUUUCCUUGAACGCAUGGCUUCCCACACCCCACCACUACCAACAGCACCAUAUAAACUCCCCAAUAGUGGCUGGCCAAAUCCUGUGAGCUCCCUGGCUGGAUUAGGCGGCCUUGUCUAAUAUUUUAACCAUUUAAGAAUGCUGGCCUCAUUUUUAUGCUUAGGACAUGUUUGCUUGCCUAUGUACCCCUUCCAACGGAAGCAGUUUUACAAUCCCCCCUCCCUUUUCUUAAAAACAUAUGGGUGACCACUAGUUUUCACAGGAGCACCACUCGUUUUAGGAGAGUUGUGCUUUAAAUAUAUUUUUUUCUUGAAUUACUCUGAGGCCAGCUAUCCUGGAGGGGGGGCUGUUUGCUCUCCCUGCCUCCUUCCACCACGUGCCCCCAGUUAAGUGCGUCCUUUGACGUUGCUGAAGCAGGUAAGUGAGGCAAUGGCUUGCUGCGCUCCAGUCACGGUUAUUUUCUUUCACAGUAACCUCCAUUAACUUAUUCGCCGCCACCCCCCUCCCAAAAAACCCGACUUUGACGUAUUCCUCCUGGAUACUGAGUGACCAAUCAAGCAGUGACAGAGGAGGGAAUGUAGCCAAUGGGUCAUCGUUGCUACCUGUGGGCAAUAUUUUUAG